GUCAAUCCUUCCCCUCUCAUUUGAUAUCUUCUCGUAUUACUUUCCUCUUUUCUUCGUCGCCCGACAGAAAGGGUCGGCGGCAACAUUUCCUCAUAUGUCUCUGUUUCCGACGGAGCUCAGGCCCUUUUUCCCGCCACACAGACUCACUUCCAACGCCAAAUUCCGCGAUUAUCCAUACUUCUCUCCCCCUUUUGUCCUCUAGUUUCUCUCAAUUUUUCUUUAGCUCUCUCCCACCCCACCCGAGUCUGGUAUUUCUUCCCACUUUUUUUUUCUGGAUUUGGUGCCAAUUAGUUCGGGUUUGAUUGCUGGAGGAAUCAAGCUUUAGUGAUCAAAUGACCAGUUGAUGAAGCUUUCUGUGAUUUCAGCUUCAAUUUGGUGUGACUUCUGCCUUCUUACUUUUUCCCUAUUGGAGGUUACUAUUUGUUAGGUCGUUUUUUCCCCUUGCUGCUUCAUGAAUCAAUCCGUUUGUUUGUUUUCAAAUUGUUAUGUAGAUUGAAUUCUGUUGUGGAUCGAGAUUUUGUGGCUGAAAGACUGUUGAAGAUCUUCUAGCUUCGAAUUAGGGUUUUGAUGCGCUUGAUUUCCUUGUGUAUGAAUUUUUGUUGUUGCUGCUGCAUGUUUGAUCUAUGUCGCUGAAUCUAUUUAAGCUGGUUGGAUGAACCCUAAUGAUUUAGGAAAGGGUGAUCCUGAUUUCUCUUUCUGAUUCUUUUCCAUAAUGUUUGUCGAGUUUUCAGGUUGCUAUUUCCAUAGGAUCCUCUGUUUUUUUGCAGGGUAGAGUCUAAGUAAACAUCUUUGGGUAUUAGCAGGGAGCCAUAUUUGGUUGUGCUGGGGUUGCUUCACGGGCUUGCUACAGGGGGUCAACAGUAUGUUGCCCUUGUGAUAUUCCCGCUUUUUCAGCAGUAUAUAUUUUUCCGCGAGGUUGUGUUAUAGAAGGUGAAGCUACUACACAUCAUUCUUUUGCGGGUUGAAGAGGAUGUACCACUGUUCGUUGUUGGCUUCCCCUCAUCAUUGUAUCAUUCUGCUUGAAUCUGAUUGACAGAUAUUGUCCUAGAUGAAAGGUGAUGGAGGCGGGGAUGGAGGUGGUCCAGCUAUAGAACUAAAUAACCAGCUGUCCAAUGUAGAAAAGAUGGUAAUUGAGGAUGGAGUUGUGAGUAAGGACAAAAAAUUAGUUGAAGUUGAUGUGAGAGAUCGUCUUGGAGGGGCUGUUCAGGUCGCACUUCCAAUCCAACAGCAAUCUCAAGGGACAACAGUUUGCUGGGAAAGGUUUCUUCAUCUCAGAACCCUCAAGGUUCUGCUGGUGGAAAAUGACGAUUCAACCCGCUUUGUUGUCUCCGCUCUGCUGCGUAACUGCAGCUAUGAAGGUUUGUCGCAUGAGAUUCUUCUCCUUCCUUUAGAUGUUUAUAGAUAAUGAAGUGUGCAAUACUAUCCUGAAAAUUUGUGUUUCAGUUUCAAACCAGGAUUAGAGUUUUAUCCUUUCAGAAUGCGUUUGUGGAACUUGAUAUUUACAAAGAUCACGUGAGGAACUUAGAAAUGUACUUGGUUCAGAAAAUGGCUUGUUUUUCUUUUUUGGAAAAUAUCAUUUUUUUAAUUCUAGUACUAUAAAUGUUAAAGCUUUACAUAACCUGAGAGGUACCUUUUGCAUGAUGAUAUUAGUUACUUCUCUGUUCUCUGUUUUGUGCACGCCAGUAAUUGAAGCCUCAAAUGGAGUACAAGCUUGGAAGAUACUCGAGGACUUGGCCAAUCAUGUUGACAUUGUCUUGACUGAAGUGGUCAUGCCUUUUGUAUCUGGCGUUGGGCUUUUGUGCAAGAUUAUGUCCCACAAAACGCGCAAGAAUGUCCCUGUAAUCAGUAAGUUUCUUAUUGGUUGUUCUGUUACAAAAAAAGAGAAUGUUCUUUCAUGUGGCACAAGGUUAUGCCUAGCUGUUGAAAGUAUCUUCUAACUCUCUUUCUUGAUGAUAUAUCUGCAGUGAUGUCUUCCCACGACUCAAUGGGUUUGGUAUUUAAGUGCCUGUCAAAGGGAGCUGUUGAUUUUUUAGUCAAACCCAUACGAAAGAAUGAGCUUAAGAUCCUUUGGCAGCAUGUUUGGAGAAGAUGCCAUAGUGUAAGUAGUUCCACUUCAAGAUAUUAGGACCUGCAAUGUUUUUAUUCCUUCCAGGCAGCCUUAUCAAGCUUUAGUUCCAUUCAGGAGCUUGCGUCUCUACCUUCUACCAUGAUAUUCUUCAUAAUCUUUAGUUUCCACUCAUGCGGAGUGGUAUUGCUGUGUUCAGAAUGACUCAAUAGGUCUCUACUUUCGGGCUGAGUAAUUAAAAUGCUUUAUUUUCUCAGUCUAGCGGCAGUGGAAGUGAAAGUGGCAGUGUAACUCAAACUCAAAAGUCAGUAAGAUCAAAAAAGGUUGAGAAGUCCAACAAUAACAGCAGCAGCAAUGAUGAGGAUAUUGAUGGUAGCUUUGGUCCGAAUGUUGGUGACGGAAGCGAUGAUGGGAGUGGUACACAGGUAUACAAUAAGUUCUCUUUUCAAAGAAGUUUUAGUAUCCUAGCUGUGAUGAGCUUCUGAACUUGAGGUGGAAAUGAUUUAUAAAAAUAAGUUCCUGACCAUUUUGCAGAGUUCUUGGACAAAGCAAGACGUCGAGGUGGAGAGCCCUCGUGCUUUGCCUCAAUGGCAGCAAGUUUCUGAUUGUCCUGAUAGUACUUGUGCCCAAGUCAUUAAUUCAAAUGGUGAAGUAUCUGGUAACAAACAAGUUCAUGCGUCUAAAGGAAAGGAACAUCAAGAGGAGCAACGACUGGGUAUGACAUAUGUCUUCAUCUAUAUGAAUAGCUGUUGUCUUUGUUCCCGGGACUAUUUUGUAUUUCCGCUCUUCCGUUUUUGCGGCAGCCACCAUCCUAAUACUUGUGAUGGUGUGUUUAUUCUUACAGACAUUUCCGCUAUUGACAAAGAUUUUGGAAUUGGAGCACCACAGAAGCCUGACUUGCAACUCAACUUUGCAACUGGAGAUCCAAAGAACCUUGCAGGGAUCAGACAAAGUCAUCUGCUUGAACAAGGGGGUCCCGGAUUUGAUGAGCACGAAGAUAAGGGAUUCAUCAGUAUAAAUAGUGCAAAUAAUUUGCAAGGUGAAGCCGGAAGAGCAGUUGUAUUCACUCUUAAUGCUGCUGAAUCAUGUAUGGACAGUGCAAAAGUUAAGAUCUCAGACUCCAUAGUCAAGGCUAGUACUGACCCUAAGGGAGCAUGCUUUGACGUAUGUUUGAAGAGAGUUAGAGGAGCCAAGGAUGUUAAUAAGAGUAAUCAGGACGAACGAAAUGUUCUAAGGCGUUCGGACUUCUCAGCCUUCUCAAGGUAAAAACAUCCUGGAAUUACCCAAAUAUGGGUUUAAAUACCCUGUUGGAUUAUGUUUGUGUUGUCAAGAUCCUGAAAUGCUUCAUCUUCUUCCUUGAACUUUUCAGGUAUAAUGCAGCUUCGAAUUCAAACAAGAUUUCUGGAGGAAACACUCAGAGUGGUCCUCCUGUUGUUACGAGUUUUGAUGAUGUCAGAAAGGGGGCAUUCCAUGAUCGCCGCUCUAACUCAAUUAACAAUACUCCUAGCCGUCGUUCAAAUGUGGAUUGCAACACUGUUGACAUGGGCUCCACAACGAAUAAUACUUUUCUCAAGUCAGCGGUUCUGAAAAACAAAUCUGGAGUAACAUCGAUGGUCAGAUACACUCACGCCCCAUCUUCCAGCCAGCCUACAGAAGGCAUUACGAAAUCCAUUUCUCCUCAUCAAGUUGUCUCAGAAAAAGCUGACGAUUUAGCAGCAACGGCUACUACACUGGUUCAACCAAGUGAUGCCCACAUGGAGCUCCCAAAUCAGCACCAUCAUCCCCAACCAGCUAAGCAUGAUGAUUCAGCAUCAAAGAAGAUGAUGACACCACAUAAUGGAUCAUCCAAUGCCCUAGGUGGUGGCCCUUUUGAAGGCAAUGCUUGCAAUUGCAGCAUCAAUGGAAGUGCCUCGGGCAGCAAUCAUGGGAGUAACCAUGGUAGUAAUGGGAACAAUGGGAGUAGCCCGGCAGUUCAUGCUGGGGCAACUAACAUGGAGAGUGAUAAUGGAGUUGCUGGGAAGAGUGGAAGUGGGGGUGCUGAUGCGAGUGGGACCGGAGGAGGGAAUGGGAGCGACAAUGGCAGUGGUAGUGGCAGUGGAGACAAGCUAGAUCCAGAUAGGCUUUUACAAAGAGAAGCUGCUUUGGCCAAAUUCCGACUGAAGAGGAAAGAUCGAUGCUUCAGGAAAAAGGUUAAUGCUUUUUGCUUCAUUUACUAUUGUAUCAAUGUGGUUGCAAGAAUGGAUCAAUGUGGUUGCAAGGAUGGAUCAAUGUGGUUGCAAGGAUGGAUCAAUGUGGUUGCAAGGUUGGAUUGCAGGUCAUUUCCACAGGCAAGGCCUCUGAGUAUCUGUUUGUUUGUACUUUUGAUGAUGUUUCAGGUUCGGUACCAGAGCAGGAAGAAACUUGCCGAGCAGCGGCCACGUUUUCGGGGACAAUUUGUGCGGAAAGACGGUAAUGAAAGCAGUAGUCGAGCUACCGAUAGCUAACUGGAACUGAAAUAUGACCUGCUGUGGCAUCUUCCUAUGAUCACCAGCUGAAAGUGGUCUGUGAACUUGGUAAUGGUCGUGGAACUGAUGAACAUUGAACUGUGGUUUGAUUUUAAUACUGCGGCCAUGUUUUACUGUCUUCUGAAACCCCGCUCGAACCGCAUUGUUGUUUGUUUGUUGUGACCAAAACGUUCAAUAUGUAUAGUAACAUUUUGUUGUAUGCCCAGAUCUCAAAGAGCUGUUACAAUGCCCAUUGCCCACCUGGAUUCUGAUGUUACUUGUGCUAGGUUUAUCUUUCUUGUUUAGGUUUAUGUUUCCAUCUUUAAUGGGGAGAAGAGGCUUCUCAGUUUCCUUGCUGAGGGAGGCUACAUUGUUGUUGUUAUAUGGCUCCAUGAGUGUAUGAUUAGUUCCUCUUCGUUUGCUUAGGGACAAAUAGUGUUUUGUGUGUGUUUUUAAUUGUAUAUGUUUUGUGUACUCGGAGAAUUCUUACAAAUUGAAAAUUCCAACUUCUUCCAAAUAAACCAGUGGGUCGGUUUCGUUGCUUUCCUUUUUUUUUCAUAUUAAAUAAAAUAAUCUAACAUCCUUCCACUUAAAAAAACCACUCUUUUACCUCUCUUUUACCUCUCUUUUAUACUUCUACAGAACUUUUUAAGCGUGAUUAAAUAAAAAAUUAUGUAGGUAGUCAAGUUGAGAUCUAAAUUAUAAAAAUGACAAUUAUUGAGACUUACGGUGCGCCGUGCAUUGUAGGACGCGCCGAACCAAUUACCGGUACUUACAGUGCGCGGCGCACUGUAGGACGCGCCGCAGCAAUGACCUGUACUUAGUGCGCGAUUGUAUUAUUUGAUUUAUUUCACCAAAUCAAUUUUUUCCUUUAACUCCCAAACUUUUAUAUAAUUAUAAUUUAGUCACUCAAUUAGUUUAUGAAAUGUGGUUAAUUGAAACUCUAUUUUCAGUGCGUUAGGUUAAUGUCAGUUGGUUACGAAAUUGGUUAAAAUGCACUAAAUCAGUUAAGAUUUGAGCUCAAUUCGUAUCUAGGCUGAACUCGGGUUAACCGUAACAGAUUUUAAAUAUCCGCAAUCGUUCAAUUUAAAAUAUGUUACGUUUUAACCCGAGUUCAGCUCAGAUAUGGAUUGAGUUUAAAUUUUAACUGGUUUAAUGCAUUUUAACCAAUUUCAUAACCAAUAAACGUUAACCUAACGCACCGAAAAUCAAGUUUAAUCGCACUUCAUAAACUAAUUGAGUGACUAAAUUAUAAUUAUAUAAAAGUUUGGGAGUUAAAUUUUUCUCAUGCUUAUACUAUCCUCUAAUUCCAAAACUCCGUACAAAACGACAUGUGGUGUUCUUGGUGUUGGUCACCAAUAGUCAUAAGUCCAUAAAUGGACACCUUCGGAACUCAGGAGGGCAAUCAACAAAGAAACCAUCAAUCCGAAAGCACUCUGUCUCGAAAUGAUAUGUUUAAUUUAGGGUUUAGUAAAACUACGUACGUAUGACGAGGAAACAGGUACGAUACGAUGUCAUAAAACCGACAAGUGAGGAAAAUGUAUGAUGAAGAAGGUUGGUAGUGGCAGCACGUUUUGGGGACAUAAGGCAACUACCUGUCAUCUCCUUCAGGUAGGAAAGGAAAGGAACAAUCUUUCUCUUAUAAUUUUGUUUCAAUUUCUCCCCCAACCCAACCCCACGUGCUGCAGAGCCUCUCAGCUACCUCAAAAAUGAAACAACUUUCCCAACUAACUUUCCAAUCCCUAGAACCAACCCGCCUCCACUACUACAACUUUUGUCUCUUCUUUCUUUGUCAGUUGCCCAUUUAGCCUGUUUAAAUCCGACCCCAAUAGCCUUGUCAACUCCAUUUUGUUUAUGCAAUAGAAACUACAUACUCCUAACUUCACUGUUCCUGGUACUGGUAAAUGGUCUUUGUUCACAGAUUCUUUUAUUUCUAGCUGCAGCUAGUAUGUGCACCUGGAUUCGCUCACUUCGAACUCUCAAUUUUUGACAACUUUACAAAGGAAGUUGUCAAUCUGAAACCAAAACACCUUAGACAGUGGUAAUGUGUUCAGUUCCGAAAGACAAUUUCCGUUUCAAUUUUGACGCGUGCACCAAAUAUGAAAAGGAAAAGGUAAGCGAUGAAUACACGAGGUCUCACCAGAUCAUGGAACAGACCAACUCUCGCUUCGAACAUAUCAAGGCUAAUGAGUCCCAAUUUUUGUCCUAGGAAUAUCUUCCCAUCAAUCCAUUAUAUCCAUCCAUCUAGUGGAUCUGAGGUUGCUCCUUACAAUCCUUAACAUCUAUCUUCUCUCUCACACACAAUUCCAGGGCCCUCCAGUGCAAGUUAAUUAAAAACACACAGAGAUUCUCUUCCUUUAUUUUUCAUCUCUUUGACAAAAACUGUUAAAAGGGUUAGUUGGGAAGCUGGUUGAGAGACUGAGAGAGGGAGCUAACCUUGUAGAAGAGCAAACAAAGGUCCCAACUUUUUCUUUCUUGUGCAAACCCAUCAAAGUUUUUUCCUAUAUUGUUUCCCAUGGUACAUGUUUCCCCCUCCAUUCAGUACUAGAUCUUCUACCACUAAACCUUUGCUGAACUGAAGAGAAAAUUCCCCCCUUCAGGUUAGUUCUGGUUUCCCUUUACUUGUUUUUUUAGGUAAAAUCAUCGCUAGUAUAUAGAUCAAUGCUGAUAGUUCGUACAAAAUCGCCUAGCAAGUACAUGAGCAACCUUAUUUCGCUCUCUCCUAACAAAACAAGUAAAGGGAAAAGAGGUUGACAGUAGUAGUCUGUGUUUUUCAAGUGUUCUCAGCCUUUAAUGACUUCUGUUACCAUUUUUCUUUCUUUCUUUGUUAGCUUUCACUUAGUUGCGUGUUGGAUGCCUCUUUUCUGCACAUUUACUACUCUCCUCUCCCCAUUUCCUCCAGGUUCAAUUCCAAUAUUUUCCUCUCUUUUCUGUUUAGUACUGUCAUUUCUCCCAUCAGUCUCACCAUAAUGUGUUAAGAACUAGAGAAAUUUCUAGAAUGUAGAAUCCUGAAAGAAAUGAUUUACCCUCUUAGCAAGGCUAACCAAACAUUUUGAAAGUUUUGAUUUUUCCUCAUCUUCAGAAGUUGUGUUAGAUUUGUACUGGAUUUUGUUUGGUCCUUUCCUUUUCAGAUAUUUCAGCAAUGGAGAUGAAGGAAACAGAAAAAGUAGUGAUAGCAAAACCAGUACCUUCUAGGCCUACUAGCUCCACUUUUGGCUCUUCAAUAAUCCUCCCCUUGCAGCCUAAUUCCCAGGUGAAAAAGUUUUCACCUUUCUUCCAUUUCCAUUUUCAUGGCUCCAAUUCAUGAUUUCUGUUGUGACACAUAAAUUCCAGGAUGAAGGUUCUCCUCCCACCAACAUCAUUUACAAGCCACAGGCAAAGCUUGUCUCCAAGAGGACUGCUUCCCUCCUUGCAAAUAUGGUUAGUAAUUAAGCUUCAUUUUCUGCACUUGAUUAUAGCAGAAACCAUUAAUUACAAAUUUAAAGUAUAGGGGGUAAGGUAGUCAAAACUCGUGAUUUCAUGCGGAAUAAAUUUUUUUAAGUGAAAUCAUGAUCGUAGAUUGUCUAAGACAUUUAAGACAAAAUGCAUUAAGAAAACUAGAUCUUUUUGUAUACAGUUUACAGGAUAAGAAAAUAAAGUGGAUUUAACUCUUAUGUAGCUUCUGUAUGGAAUCAAGUCGUUAGACAUCAAUAAAAUCGUAAAACUGUAAGAUUUUUAAGAUUAAAAUCAAGAUUUUGACCACAUUAUUAUAUAGGGAAACAACUUCAACUCAACUUGCAAUCCGGAAUUAGACACGAGACCAAAUGCAAGCUCUAAUGAUGAUGUGGAAGAAGCAGCAGCAGUCCACCAGGGAACCGAAAGCAUCAGCUUCUUCAGUUCAAGGCGGUGGAGGACAUGUUGUUGAUCACAGUAGGCCUUGUUACGACGGUUACAAUUGGAGGAAGUACGGACGGAAGCAAGUCAAAGGGAGCGAAUAUCCGCGAAGCUAUUAGGAAUGCACUCACCCGAAUUGUCCCGUAAAGAAGAAAGCCGAGAGGUCGUUCGAUGGACAGAUUGCUGAGAUUGUUUACAAGGGCGACCAUAGCCAUCCCAAGCCGUUUCUGCCACCGCCGCCACCUCAGCAGCAUAAACGGAAUUUGAAUGCCGGUGGUAAUUGCAGGAAUGAUGAACAGGUGUGUGGAACUGCUGGAGGAGAAAUCCUGAUUGGAACAGGAUUACUAGCCAAUGCUGUUGUGGAAUUCGAGGAAGGAAGCAUCAGAGGAGGAGGAUUAAUCCAGGGAGAUCAUGAUGAACCCAGAUCCAAAAGAAGGUGAGAAACAAAAAAAAGGCACAAACGUUGAAGCAUUUCUGGAGAAGUUCCAGUUUUCCUGAGUCUUUAUAAAGCCGCAUUUUCUGCGACGGAAUUGGAGGCCAAAUUUGUCAGAUUUAGGGCAAAUUGUGGACACUAGAAUGAUUUGAGGCCAUUUUGAACGCCGGAACUGGAGGUGGGAUUAGCUGGAUUUGGGACCAUUUAGCGCACCAGAUCAAUUAUGUCAGAUACGUUUUUUGCGGCCAUAAAGCGAAAUCCUCAGUUCGGCUGGAUUUGGGGAUUAAUAUCGCCUAAUUCCGGCCGUCUGAUUUCGUUUGGAGAGGUCCGAAUUCGCCUAAGCUGAUGAAUUGGGCCUUGCAUAUGAAAUCCGGUGGAUUUGGGGAUCCUAGAGAGAAUUAGAGGUGAUUUGGGAGUAGAAUUGGCCGGAUUUGGGAAACAAUUCAUGACGUCCAACCAAUUCCGCCGGAUACAUUUUCUGUAGCCGACAUUCUCAAUUCUGUCUGAUUUGGGGGCUUUCCCCCUAAUUCAGACUUCGAAUUCCAUUUGAGAAUCUCCAAAUUCCCUCGUGAGUCCAAAUCUCGACAACUUUGAGAAUUUCAACCGCAAUCGACAGUUUAAGCUGAAAACGAAACCUAAUUAGCACUUUUUUGGUUGGUUUCCAGGAGAGUUGAGGAUCAGGUAAAUGAUCAGUCAGGAAUUGCAGCAGCACAGAACCUGGAACGGAUCCUGAAAUAUUAGGAGAUGGAUUUCGCUGGAGAAAAUACGGACAGAAGGUUGUCAGAGGAAACCCAUAUCCAAGGUUAUUACUUGUUCUUCGUCUUUGAGAUUUAGCAGAGUCAAAUAACUAAAAAUAAGCCAGCGCUCAUGGUUUCCUCCCCCACAAAUUUUGUAGGGGUUCUUUCCAAAAAUUAAACAAGACAAAUCAUGUAAUGAAAGUGUUUGACCUUUUCUUUAAUUUUCUGUUGCAUGCAGGAGCUACUACAGGUGCACGAACCUCUAGUGUAAAGUGAGGAAAUACGUGGAAAGAGCUCCUGACGAUCCGACAACUCUGGUAACUACCUAUGACGGGAAGCACAAUCAUGAGAUGCCUUCCAGAACCGAACCUGACGCUUCUUCUUUCAAGUCUUCUUCCUCCAGAGCCAAACCCUGAGAGACGUCACGUCAGAAUCUGCAGUUAAUCGACUCCUUGAUGGUGUAUAUAAUCUGUGUUUUAUAUUCAUGAUGGAUGCCUCCUAUUUUAUAUAUUAAGUUUGUAGAGAGAUUACUUAAUCUACUCAACGCUGAAAGCUAUGUAAAUGGACCAAUCAACUAACACUACUUUUUUUAAUUACAUACAGAGCCUAGUUGUACAUAUCAAAUUGACAUCAUUAGUUGAAAGUUAGAGAUAGUGUCCUCCUCACUUGUAUGCAGGGCUGGAUAAGAGCCGAGCCGAGCCGAGUUGAGUCAAAUAUUCGGUUGGUUUAAGUUUGGUUCGUUUAGUUUUAAUCUAAUUCGAGCUCCACUCGAGUUUGAAUUGUGGUUCAGAAAUAGUGUUUCAGCUAGUUCAGCUCGAUUAAAAAAGUGAGGGGUCAAGUUCGAUUUGUUUGUAUUCUUUGACACGCUCGAGCUCGACUCGAAAAUUCGAACUCUUAACUCUGUUAGCAUCAUAAACAAGUUCGAGUUCGGUUUGUUUAUAACCUUAAACGAGCUUAAACUCGGCUCAUUUGCAACCUUACCGAAUUGGAAUUUACAUCGCAACAAAAAAAUGCACCUCAAGAAGCAUAUAGUUCAACCUGAACUAAGAAUUGUAGGGGUAAUAUAAUCAAAAUAAUUAGCUAGCUAGUGUUGUAGUUGGUUUACAAUUCACGAGUAACAUAAUCGAGUUUACAAAUGAGCCACACGUCAAGCGGCUUGCGAACGAUAUACAAACCUGCCCGCGAAUCAAGUUUGACGAGCCAGCGAGUCAAGCCCGCUCGAAAACUCUACACAAACCUGUUCGCAAGCCGGGUACAACGAGCCAACGAGCCGAGUUGGCUUGGGGAUCGUCAAACCGAAUCACCUUUGGAUUGGGCUCGAUUUACAAGCCUACGAGUAUGUUAAGAUCACUUAUAAUACCUAGGAUUUUGUUUUUGUGGUUGAACUUAAUUUGCACAGGACAAAAUCAUCACUAGAACUCCCAACAUUUGGAGGACGUUCAACACCCUAACACACACAACUAAAUGAAAGCCAGAAACUUGUUGUAACCCCACAUUUGGAAACCGAUCUUGACUCUGUUUCCACUUAAACAAACAUUCGGAUACGAAGAUAAUGCCGCCAAAACAUUACAUGUAUCAGUGGCAGUGCAGGCCAAUUUUCUACAUUGGAUAUGUCAAAACAAUAUCAUUCAUUGUUCAACGGAGACGAACAAGAAUCAAAGGAUAAAAAAGCAAAAGGUUACCAAGCUUGUUUGUUUGUGACUGGUUGGUUGGUUGAUUGCGUUUCCACGUUUCUCUCUGCGAGACGCGUUGAGAGCUGACUGACAACUGUGAACCCUCUGUCUUUUCUUUUUCCUACUUCCUCUGUUCCUUUCCCCUCUGUCUCUUUUCCACCGUCGGUAAAAAAAACUUGGGGGGUCCGAAUCGGAUUUACAGAGCUUGGCCCCCUCCUCCUUACGGAUUUAUGACAGGAAUGAGGGAGUUUGGUGGUGAAUUCAUGAGCCUGCCUGCUGCUUCGACCACCGCCAGCUGUUUUUUUUUUAUAAAUAAGUUACCAUCAGCUUUGUUGAUAACGUUUUAAUUUAAUCAGAUGAAAACAAAACUAACUUUUCACAGCGGAGAAUGAAAUUCGAAUUCCAGAGGGGUGUACUUGAAGCUGGGUUGGAUAAUUACCGGCUCAUCCAAACCGGGUUGGUGGUGUGGACUGGUUUGACUGCGACCAUUUUCGUUUCAGGGUUUGGUGGUAAUGGACUGAGUGACACUACUGUGCUAUUACUCGAUUCCACGACGCGAUUUGAUUUGAUUUGAUGCAUGGAACCCACCACAGAUUGCGACUUGUUCCGCAAAAACAAGGAUAAAUAAGAGCACAUACAAGGGAAAAAUAAUACAGAGUAUGAUCAGAUGAAAAAUAAAUAAACAGAGAGAGAGAGCUUGUCGACACAUUUCCCGUGUCUGAAAUUCAAGCCCUUUUAAUGGAUUCUUAUUAGGAAUUAGCAUCGUACCAGAAUUUCAGAUAUAUAUAUAGAGAGAGAAAAAACAGUGAGUGAUCUAAAAAAGGAAUAUGAAAUGGAUACCUUGCUCUGGUGUAGCGAUAGGUGCAAAAACAACCACCACCACCACCAGCAAGAAGAAGAAGAAGAAAGAGUUGAAGCAACACAAGGAUAUGGAGAUGGUAGGGAUGAUCAAGGACAAAAACCCUUCACUUGAAAAGGAAAGAAGCCGUUCAGGUUUGUUUUCUGGGUAUAGAAAAGAUGAAAGCUUUUUUUCAGGGUUUCUGUCUUCCAAGUUUUUCAAGAAUGAACCUUUCUCAAGUUCUCUCAUGUCGAUCGGUGAAAUUUUGAAGAUCCUUCGCUUUGUAAUUCUCGAAGGAAGUCAUUGGGUUUGCUCAUUAGGCUUUAAAUUAGCCUUUGUGAUUGAAAUUGGUAUGUAAACGCCUAUUUGGUGGUGAUCACUAGCGGACCCAAGAUAUUCGGAGAUUCUCCGUUGGGUUGUAGUUUGAAACCACACUAGGCAAAAUUCGAAACACAAUAAGCGAAAAUUUCAACAUUUGAAAAUUUUACAUGGCCGGUUUUAGCCUGGAGAUUCCAAACUUGAAUUCUGGUAUCCGGGCUGAAGGUCAACAAGCACGAGGUUUACCUGACUACAGUGUCACAAAGUGGCGCCUAUAAAAAGGUUUCAUUGUCAUAGAAAAAAACUUCACAUAAGAUUUCCUCAUUUUGGAACUGAAUGACCCUUGUCAGUGGCCUAAGUUCGCCUGCUCCUAGUUCCGGCACUGGUAGUGAUGAAAGUUAUGUGUUGUGACUUGUGUGUGUCUGCAGAAAGGUCGAGGAAAGAUAGGAAAUUAGAGUCCAAGGUAAACUCGGAUGACAUUGCAGCAAAGACCUUCACAUUCCGGGAACUGACCAUAGCAACUAACAACUUCAAAAAGCAAUGCCUUCUUGGUGAAGGAGGCUUUGGAAGGGUUUACAAAGGCUAUUUAGAAAGCAUUAACCAGGUUCAAAUUUCGACAUAUUACAGAUAUCUAAUUCGUCUUUUGGUCAGUGAACACCAUGGUUAUGCUUAUUUUCUUUGCAGGUUGUGGCAAUCAAGCAACUUGACAGGAAUGGCUUGCAAGGGAAUAGAGAAUUCCUAGUUGAGGUCCUGAUGUUGAGCCUACUUCAUCACCAAAACCUCGUGAAUUUGACUGGAUACUGUGCCGAUGGAGAUCAAAGGCUUCUGGUUUACGAAUACAUGCCUCUAGGAUCUCUGGAUGACCACAUCCAUGGUAACAUUUUUAAAUUACGGCACUUUCCUUUCCUGGUUUAUUUGAGCUGCAUUCUAAAGUUUUGAUCUUGAUGUCACAGAUAUUGAGCUUGGAGGAAAGAAAGGCCUCGAUUGGAACACGAGAAUGAGUAUCGCGGCAGGAGCAGCAAGGGGGUUGGAGUUCUUGCAUGACAAGGCAAAGCCUCCUGUGAUAUACAGGGAUCUUAAAUGCUCAAACAUUUUACUAGACAAAGGAUACCAUCCGAAACUAUCCGAUUUCGGACUGGCGAAACUCGGCCCCGUUGGAGACAACACUCAUGUAUCCACGAGAGUCAUGGGGACUUACGGUUAUUGUGCUCCUGAAUACGCGAUGACCGGCCAACUAACCUUGAAGUCUGAUGUUUAUAGCUUUGGUGUUGUCCUCCUGGAGAUCAUUACGGGAAGGAGGGCUUACGAUACCUCCAAGUCGGUAGGAGAGCAGAAUCUUGUUGCUUGGGUAAGUACUCAUAAACAUUUCUUGGUUCUGCCAUAUUUUUUUUCAUUAAGUGAAAUGAUCAAAUGUCGCUCGACGUUGACCGUUGGGAAUUGAAAUCCCAGGCUAAACCUUUGUUCAACGAUCGGAGAAACUUCGCGAAAAUGGCUGAUCCAAUGCUGAGAGGAGAGUUUCCUGCAAGGGCUCUAUACCAAGCUCUUGCUGUGGCAGCAAUGUGCGUUCAGGAACAGCCUAACAUGAGACCUGCUAUGGCUGAUGUUGUCACGGCUUUGUCUCACCUUGCUUCACAGAAGAGUGCAACUGAGACGCAGCAGUCGCUUCAGAUGUCGCGCUUGGCUGCAGAAACCUCACCUAGUGCCAAGGCUCGAAGUUGAGUGCCGUAGCAAGUGAGCUCCAGACUGAUCGACCCCCGCUUUAUUUGCUCGGAAUGUUUCGAAGCAACAUGGUAUGUUGGUAGUAGUGUGGAAAUACGUAUAAGGAUUUGACUUGGAUCUGUUGUAACAUCAACACGGCAGGCUGUAAUCACCAAUGCCUCCUCUCUUCUUUCUUUUUGUCUAUCCUGGUUUCCCUCCUUUUUGGGUGCUUAUUAAAGCACUUCCUCUUCCUUCUAAUCAUUUGUUGUUGUUUUUUCUGAGUACUGUGAAAUAAUUAAUACUAACUAAUUUAGAAUUGAAGGAUAUGAAACUGCAACAGUUGGAUAUGAUGUUUUGGUUUGACAUUAAUCAUUUUGUCUUUUGAUUUGAUCAAGUUUGAGUUGACUCGAUCUCUGGCUUCCACCUACCAAGUUUCAUAUAUGACUUAAUUUCUGGCUUAUACGUUUUCCAUAGAAAAAAAAAGUUCAUCUAUCUUUAUUUGUUUUAUAAAACUUCUCGCAACACCGUUCGAAUAAUUCUAGUUUGUUUCAAAUGUCUCAUAUAUACUAGCAAACCAAGGGUAGGGUGGGCAAUCUCGAAUCACCGCCCAUAAUCACUUGGCUACAAAUUGAUAGCAAAGUUGAUAAAAUUUCAUGUAGAAUUAUCAAAACUAAAAUCAUGUUCAGUGUUUCAUCAAGCGUGCUUUAAAUUUACACCCAAAUAUAAAAUUUUAUCCAAGAUUUCCGACCAUCCUAAUUCUAUUAUUGACUGUACCAUUCUGGAUAGUUUGAGCAGUUCAACAAUGAACCUGUCAUCAAGUCAUCCUCUUCCUCAUGGAGACCAAGAAAACUAACAAGUAUAUGGAGGAGGAGAGGAUGACUUUGAAUUUUCAGAACUCCUUCUACGUGCAGCCUGAAGAGCGAGCCGGAGGCCUCACUCUGUGGUGGACUGUAGAUUUACCUAUUCGGAUAGUUAGCUCUAGUAGAUUUUAUAUUGACGCCUUUAUAUCUAUUGGGGUGGGAUUUUAUUGCUCUUUUGUUCACACCCCCUCAAUUACGAAUGGGAGGAGGGUGUUUUGGGAUAGGGUCACUAGCUUUAGAACUGCGGCCAGUGAUCCAUGGCUGAUUAUCGGUGACUUCAACGCAGUUUGUUUUUACUAUGAAAAGUAUGGUACAGACCUAAUCGGCCUAUGCGAGUGCCAUGCUUCAGUCUGAUCGCACCGGCAGCUCAAGCCACCCUAGGUUUGAUGAGAAAUCUUAGAAGUGGCUAUGGAGCCUACAGCUACCCCCUAAGAUUAACACCUUCAUGUGGCGGUGCAUCAAUGAAGCCAUAGCUACACGAGAAAAUAUUGCAAAGAGAAGAUGGUGAUCGGGCCUCUAUUGGAUGACAAAAAAGGCUCUUUAGCCAGGGAUGUAUCGAAAACAUCCAACAUUGCUUAUUUGGAUGCCCUCAUGCGAGUGAUACGUAGAGGAGACACCUUUUGUCCCACCCGGCUCUUGAGCCCUCUAACUCCUUUGCUCGUUGGUUUUUUGACUUGCAGGCGUCAGCUAGCCAUAGUAGAUUGUGCCUGGUUGCCGCCAUCUGCUGGAACAACUGGAAAGCGAGGAAUGAAAGCACCUUCAGACAGAUUCACCUUACGAUUUUCACCACGGACUUGGCGAUCAUAAGAGACCUGGACACUUGGACCAGCGCCUUCAGCCCGUCGGGCCCACCCACAACUUUCCGAUCCACUCCAAACCAUCAUGAUGACUACCCACCGCCAAAUACCCCGCAGAGGAGUAUUCACUGUGACAGAUCGUAUAUUUGCGAUUCCCAAGAGGCGGCUUAUGGUUCGUUGCCCGUGACAUCCAUGGUCAUCCCUAUGACGGCAGGAACAGAAGUUUCUUUUGUUCAUUGGCGAUUAGUGCGAAAGCAAGAGCGAUUCUUAAAGCCACUCACUUUUCCAUAGCAAGCUCAGAGCCCACAACCAUUUUUUCGGAUUGCAUCACCAUCGUCAAUAUCAUCAACAAUCAAGCGCUCGCGUGGUCUUGGUCUUGCUAUGCUACCAUUGACUCGAUCCUCAACCUUCAUGACAAUGCACCGUGGAUUAAAUUUGCCUUCACUCCAAGAAAAUUGAAUCAAUUAGCGGAUUGGGUGGCCACUUAAACCCGUGCUCAUGCGAUUAGUCAAGACUGGAUCCCAUCUCUUGAAUGGGUUGAUGUCUUGCUUUCUAAUCCUGUACUGUAACUCACUUUUAAACGAAUGAAAUCGUCUUUCCUAUAAAAAAAAGUAUGUUCCAUAUAAUCUAAUUACAGUUUCACUUCAAUUAAACAUGGCACCUACCAUCUAAAUUAAUUAAUAAAUUUAAGGUUAUGGGAACUGAAUGUAAAACUGUCAAAGGGGAAAAGAAAAUACAACAAAUGAUGAAAGUUUGAAAGAAAAAUGUAAGUCAACACAAUAAUUUACAUUCUUCAAGGUCCUAAAACGACCUCAGUAGAUGCAGAUGGGGAGACCAAAUGAUGUCGUAAAGACGAGCUAAAUAUGCAUCGUCCGGGCUACGUCUCUGUUCCUCCUCCGCCAUCACCAGUCUCGGGUUUACCCUGUUUAGGAAAAUUGCAAUUGUCCUCCGUCAGCUCUUCCAUUGAAACACAAAAGAGUCCAAGGAAGAAGAAACCACGAAGUCUUUUAUUGUUACUUACCUUGCCUUUGUCACGCCAGCCAAGGCCAAAUGUCAGAAUACCCAUCCCUCUACUGGGGCUUUCCCCUGCCGCGUUCUGCUGCUGGAGACCCCUGUGCAUCAAAGGUACCAAAACCAAAAUUCCAGGUCCAUGUUAACACAUGAAAAGAAAGAACAAACAGACAAAAAAUGGAUGGUUUGACUGAGUAUUGUUUAUAAGAAAGAAAGAACAAACAAACCCUGGAGGUUCGCACUGUGCUUUAGUUUGGCCAGAUUGGUACUGCAUCGUAGCGUCCAACAUCGACUCUGCCAUCACCACCCUCUUCUCCAUUUGAGCUAUUAGCGACAUUGCCUUAUCAUACUUCUCCUGCAAACAUAAGAGUAAACGGCAUGUAACUUCAUCUGUUUCAAUGUUUUUUGUUAAUUGUAAGCUGCCGAUCUGGGAAAAAAGAGAGUAGGAACAAGAAAGGAUACCUGAAGGGAGCUGACUUCAAGUCUCUGAGCAGCUGCUUCUUUCUCAGCAAUCACCCUGGCUUCUUCUGUUAUCUUCUGUUCUUGCUCAACACGCAUCAAUACCUAUAGCCACCAAGAAUAUGUAUAUAUAUAUAUGAGUACCUUCUAGAACAUUUUAUUUCAUUUCUUCCGGCUCACUCAUCUUCCCUGUGACAGAAAUUAACCUGAAGCAUAGCAGCUUCUUGCUCUUUCUUUUCAGCAAGGGAUCGUCGUAGACCAUAUAUCUCGUGCUCUAGCUUCUCAAUCUGCACACAUAUGAAUUGGAGCCCAUCAAUCCGUUGGAUUCUGCAACUAAACAUUUUAUACAAAUAAAUUCAAUCCUAAUUGCUAAUUAACUCGAUGAGUGUAAAGCCAAUACCUUUGCACUCAAUUGCCGCCGAUUGUCUAGUUUGACGAUCUCCAUAAGUGCUGUCUCCAGCUCCUCAGCUCUGGAGUACCAAAAACAUUCCAGACGUAACAAACAACACGCUAUUGGUAUUCAUUGGAUUUGUGUUAAAAGAGUCUUGCAUAUGCUGGACACCCAAUUUGGGAAAAGAGAGAUCAAUCAAAGAGAAUACUGAUCUAGGCAGGCAGUAGAUGCUCUGACAACUAUGUUACCUGAGUAUGGCAGAUCGCUUCUCCUCCAGUAAUCUGCACAGCUCCACCUUCAGCCAAACUAUCUGCAUCACCAAAACGCUCUUAAUAGUUGGAAUUUUCUAAAAUUAGAUACCAACAAAUUAACCUUUUUCUGAGAUUGGAAACAAUAAUACCAAUAAGCUACCAAAAACCUUAUUAACCAAUGGGUUGACUGGACAUAGUAGUUGUGGAUGGUUCGUGAUGUAAUAAAAAGAGUACCUGAUCUUGAAGAUCUGGCAAAGAAUCCAGUUCUGAGUCGGCAGACAAUCCGCAUAGAAAAUCAUCAAAAGGGGAGCCAGUUCCUGACUGAGAAUUGUUGCCUACACCGUUCCUAUCAUCACGGCCAGCAUCAUGCUUGAAACUAUACAACUUCUUUGCAAGACCUUUUGAAUCCUUCCAUACGUUACCCUGUUUUGAUCUUUCCUCGACUACUUCCAGUACUGAUGCUCUGUGUUUUUCUCUCAACUCUUUCAAUCUAGAUUCAGUUACAGACAAAAAUCCAACACAGGCAGUCAACACAAGCUGGCUGCUGUCAAAUGUUGAUCCUGCUAGGGACUGUAAUAAAGUAAUUGCAUCCCCAGCAUCUCUAGUAGUAAGUAAUGCAGGACCUAGGACAAAAUUUUAAAUAAAAUAAUGAGGAAGUGCGAAAUUUGAAGUACAGAUAAAGAUGUGAUUUUUUAAGUGUUAGCGAGUACCAUAUAGCUCCAUCAGAGCAAAUGCUGUCCGAAACAGCAUUACACGAUUUCCCUCAAACAAUAAAACGUCCCAGAUUCGCAGAACUGGAAAUGGUGGCACAAAGUAGCGGAGAAUAAAGGAUCAGGUUCAACAGUCAAACGUGGUAAUGCAGACAAACCAUUUUAAUUUUCGUUCCAACUAAAUGAUAAAAGUAACUGAAACAAAAAAAAACUGUACCGCUUUCCCAGGGAAGCAUAUUUAUAAAAAUAGAAAGGAACCAAGGUCCAGAUACCCAUGCAACCUGCACUCCCAAGAAUUCCAGAUGACUAACUGCAGCAAUAACAUAAAAAAUGAAAUGCCAAUACUAUUUAAAGCCCUGUAUUCAAGUAAGAGAAUUAUAAUAAACUAAGAGUUGACGAUAAUGGACAAACCCAGUCUAGGGAAAAUUUCAUGCAUUAACUCUUCAAAGACCAGCUGGUCGACCUGUUGACAUAGAUGCUUUGAUUAAUGAGAAAGAACUGUCCAAACAGUGUAAUUACGAAAGUAGAAAAAAGAAAAUGACUAAAUCCAAGACACUAAACACUACCUGUGAUUCAAUCAUUUCUUCAGUAUAGUAGCCAUCGAAAUAGUCAUCAAUAAUUCCCACAAAAGUCCUGAGUGAUUCAAACAAAAGAAACCAAUUCAGCUAGCCAGCUACCAUUCUAACAUCACAGGUUCAAAGAUUAUUUUGAGAGACUAGGAAACAGUAAAAUUUAAUUUCCUGGUACAGCAGUGUAAUAACAAGGAUUAUAUAUGUAUGCUCAUGUGUGAAACAUGGAAACAUUGUUUUGAGAGACUAGGAAACAGUAAAAUUUAAUUUCAGAUAAGUGAUCUUAUAAGAAAGUAAGAAGCUUUAAUGAUAAGUCUCUGCUCAAACUUGGUUCUGUAAGAAAACAUUUGACAGAGUGCAGUUGCUCAAACCUACCAAAAAGCAUUCUCUUCUGGCAUCAGGAGUAGCAACAAGCCAGCAAAAAAAUUCAUGGCCUGCAUUUAUCCAAGCUAUCAGUGAAUAACGAUAAUCAAUAUACGAGCUUUUGGAUGGAUGACAAACGAAUAUUAUAAUGCAUGAGAGAAUAAACAAAGAGGUUUGAUAAUCAAUUUAUAAUAAGAAAAGUUUAGCCAUUCAAUAACUGGGUUCUUAAUAAUGUCAGCGAAACAAUUUUGAUCCUGUGAACAGUCUUGCUAUGGCUAAUGCUCUCAAUUCCACAACUCUAUAGCUAGCCAUGGCAAAGAAGCAAAAACUAUACAUGGCAAGACAUGAAGCAUAUAUGAGGUCGCUAAUCUUCAGUCUACAAGUCCAAUGAGAAUUUUCUUUAUCUCUAAUGACUAAUAGAGAAUAAGUUGGCCGGACGGUUACCAGGCUGUUGGCAAUUUUUUAGAAUAAAAUGGGUCAUUCAUGUUCAAAAACAGGCAUUUAUCAUAGCUCCCACCUGGCAGUAUCCAACAGAAGGGUUAUGCCGGGCAUAUGCUAUAAGAAGCCGCCUUAAUGAGUCCCUGCCAUGCUCAUCCAAUGCUGGAUGACCAGGAAACGUUCUCGGUAUAUCCUGUAAAGGAAACAAGAAAAUCAUUCUAGGGAGAAACCAGAAUACCAACCAAAGCAGAAGAAUCAGCACCUACAAAUUUAAAAGAUUGAACGAUAAAGUCCAAGGCGCAUGCAUCUAAUGACCUUCUCAAUCUGCUUUCUCCACUGUGUGGGUAUGCCUGUGCUGUUAUCAUCAUUGCUAUCAUCAGCAUUAGCAUCUUCUGCAAGUAACCCCUCAUAAUAUUUGUCAACCCUGCGUGUCUUCGCACCAACAAAGGCCUGCCAUACCUGAAAUACCAAAACCAGAUGUAUCUCAUAACCAAUUUCUAGAAAUACUAUUCAAAUAUAUACAUUGUUUUACAAAAAUUUACACUGUCAGAUUUACCUCUCCCCUGAGAUCUUUUGGCACUCCUCCAUUGACAAGGAACUCGAGUUCCUGUUUCCAGAGAAAGAAUGGUUCAGAAGAAGGCCCAUUUUCUACAAUUCUUUCAUCUGUGCUCUCAUUAUCUUUUUCAUCCAAAGUCUCCUUAAAACUUUCCUCCUUGACAACAUCAUCAUCUGGUUCUCCUUCUGAUGAACCAUCUUCUUCUAUCACUGGAAGAUGGUCUCUACUCCUAGUCUUCUUAUUGACUUUCACAUUAUGUUUUUUCUGAACACGUUCGCUCAUUAUUCUCUCUAUAACCUUCAGGGAUGGUCUAAUUUGACCCCAAUUUGGGACUCUACCAGCCUUCGAAGUUUUUGAACGAUCCUCCUUUACACCUUCCUCUGAAACAUGCAACCCUUCCGGUGGUUUCGAUGGUACUUCCAAGGAUUGUACCUCUUCUUUAGGCAGCUCUGACUGCUUAUCCUUUGUCGCUUGAACCUUCUUUUGAUGUUCCUCCACACAUGGCCACUCUUCCUUUCCAGGUUCCUCUACAACUUGCACCUCCUGCCAAGGUCCCUCAACCACUUUUUCACCUUCUUCCAAACAACGAGUCCCUUGGAUUGAUUCCUCCAAGAGUUGGUGCUCCUUUGAGGUUUCAGAACUAGGACAGCUUACACUCACAUCGUCCCCACCAUCCCUUCUUUUUAACGCUUGAAACUUCUUUUCCGGUUCCUCGACACACGGCCCCUUCUCCUUUCCAAGUUCCUCUGCAAAUUGCACCUCCUGCUGAGGUCCCUCAACCAGUUUUUCACCUUCUACCGAACGAUGAGUCCCUUGGGUUGAUUCCUCCAAGAGUUGGUGCUCCUUUGACGUUUCAGAACUAGGACAGCUCACACUCACAUCAUCCCCAUCGUCCCUUCUUUUUAACUCUGAACUAGCAGCCUCUUCUCCAGAUUGAGCAGUGCCUUCAACCUGCAACCUGUUUUCCUCGUUUGCUUCUUCAGAUUCGUCCAAGUUCUCUUGUUGUUCAAGGAAGAGCUUCCAUUUAAUUGAUCUUUCCUCCUCCUCCUCCUAACAUAUACCACCACAUCCAGAAAUCAAAAUGCUUUCACUUUACAUGAUCAAUCCAACAGAGAACAGGAAAUCAAAAUGCUUUCGAUUUGCGAUUAUAAAUCCAUAAAACAACAGGAAUCAUCAUGACAUCAAAAAAAUUAGCUUGCAUGUCCCCCCGAAAUGGAAAUACCUUGUAGAUAUGGAUGUAUUCUCUGUACCGUUGUACGUGUUGAGGUCUCAACACAAAUCCAUAAGAAUCCCUGUCAAAUCUCACAAUGAAAAAACAGAAAAAAAUAAACCAAAAGCAGAAUAGAAUUAGGUACGGAAUCCCCCAGAGAGCUUUGCUUGCCUGGAGUCAGCCUCCAACGAGCGCCUACUCAACAAGGACAACAACAUACUUCACAUCCAAAUUUCGCAAUUCCAAAGCCCAUAGCUCUCUUUUAACUCGCAAUUCCGUUCAUUAUUUUGGAUUCACGCGGCCAAAAUGCCUACAACUGUCUAAGGCAUUUCCCAUUUGCAGGACCAUCCAUUAAGACAAACAAAAAAGAGCAAGAAGCGAAGAAUGGGGAGGAGAAAAAAAGAAGAAGAAAAAAUUGACCGGAAAAUUGCACCCCGACUUUUAUAUUUUCCGGCGUGACAUUACUAGAUGAGAAAUUGAAGCUCGGAUUCGACUCAUUACCAUCCAGAUUACCAAAGUUAUCACCAUUUUUCCCGCUCAUCCCCCGAUUGAGCGAGUGUGCGAAGAAAGAAGGUUUCAAUUUCAAAAACUCAAUCAGAGAAAAACAAGCAUCCGAAGACACGCGGCAAUAGCAGAAGAAGUAGCGUUUACCUUCUUCCGUGAUGGAGAGAUUGGGGGAGGUUGACGCCGUUCUCCGCCGCCAUCUACGGAUGUUCGAUUGUAAUCCGGUGAUCAGAGGCAUGCAGUAUCGGUCAACAAAGCUGCUCGAGGUCGCCGGAGCUUCACCGGAUGAUUCGGGAGACAAACUAGAAUAUAGCGUUGAGCUGCAAGAAUUUUGCUUUUAUGAAAGGGGAAAAAAACGCUACGCUACUAUGCAUUAAAGGUUGUUCCUUCUCGUGAAGCUGAGCACACUGAAAAAACCGACUGUGUUGGCGUCACGUGUUCAUCCCCCAAGGGUUUACUUACAAGAUUUGAUUUAUCUUUUUGGAAAAAGACGAUUUCUUUUGUAAUCCAAUUCCAUUUCCACCUGAACUCAAACGUAACCGACACACCUUUUCCCACAAUGCAGACAAAUUCUUCUUUCUUUUGCUGACCAGUACUUCUCAUUGGCCAUUGCCAUUCAUUUUUUACAGAAAUUUAAAUUUGGGUUUGUGUGUUAAGCACUUAUUUGAAUACACUUUGCCACAUUUGUACUUCCAUCCAGCUUGAAAAGUUGACGACGAGUCAAUCCUUACUUUUUAAGGAACGGAAGGUAAUAUCUAUGGUGGAUGGGGCCAAGAUGAAGGUUAGACUUCAGGAGUACAAAGAUGAAGUAUCCCCAACUAAAUUGACCUGUACUUGGAGCUCAGCUUCUCGAUUCUCAAGCCCAAUCGUUGGAUUUGUGUAUGUGUAAAGAACCGGACUCGUAUAAACAUGUAUAAAAAACGAGUACAAAAAUGUAUUGUGUAUACAAAUAAUCGGAAAACGUCCUCGAAAAGUUUCCAGACUUUAAAAAGUUCAUCGUACAAAUUAUUAUGGACAUAGUUAGUACGAAAAAUAGCAUAUUUUUAUUAACAAAGAUAACAUCACAUUAUCAUCGAUACGUUAAUUACUUUCAAACACUGUCGUCCUAUAACAUGAAAGACACAACAACAACAACUACUACUACAAGGGUAGCUAAUUUAGUCUUCACCACUGCGGUCAGCGUUGAUCUCGUCAAGGAUCACCACAAGAGAGACGAUGAAGGCGUAAUCAACAUUGGGGUAGAUGGUCACCCUGAAAUUGUCCGUCUCAAACAACAUCGUUGCCAUGCUAUGUCCUCUGUACAUCUGAGCAAUGAUCUUGUUGGUGUUGCCUAGAUAAAUAACGCAUGAACUCUGGUGGAAGCUGCCCUUGACCCUGAAAUCAGGGACUUCUUCCUUGGUGUUCCCAGCCAAGAACACGCACAACUCGGUCUUCAUCAGCUGCAUCACCGACGAUUUCCUCACAGUGAACAGCAACUCGUUGCUGUUCCCGCGAAACGCCUGCCAUCUUCUGUGCGCCGACAUUAGCUGCCACACAAAUAUGAAAUUUAGGGGUGGGAAUCGAGUAUGAAUGUCAUACCGGACUUUGAGUAACCUUAAACUUUGAGUUAAAUAGGAUUGGAUCGGACUCGAACCAUAAUUAAACAAAUUGAGAUUCGAACCCGACAUGUCUCUGCUUACUUUCUGUGACAUGGAGACUAGCACGUUGUUGGAGGCAUCCAUCAACUUCCGGCGAUCGUGCAGGCUCAUGAGCUUGCUCUUGACUCUGAAGAUGACGGUCCCGUUGACGUCAUUGACGGUGAAAUCAUUUUCUCCGAGGGUCAUCAGCUUGGUCGCCACUGUUAGAUCGACAGGGUAUUGAGCCAGAAAGUAAGGGCCGACCACUACCACUGGCUGCUCCAGGGGAAGAUACACCGUCAUCGCCGGGAUCGGGUUGCUGGGUUGACCGGUGGCCAUGGUUUGGUUACUCUGGUUAUUUGAUUUAAACAGAGAUGGGUUUUGUGAGUAAUGAGGCAGGGGAUAUGUGCUGGCUAUAUAUGAAAAGAAGAGUUGCUAUCUCUGCACCAUGCAGCCGUACACUUGUUGAAGAAACCAGGCAAUGAAAACAGAGUCAUAUGCACCAUAAACAGACCUCUGUCCCCAACCGAAUGAGCUAGUUUCCAGUUUCCACCGCGCCGAUAAGGAGGCAUUCUAGAAGGCUAACCUGGACUUGAUGUUAUUCCAUUACCAGAUUUUGGCCUAUCCAGCAGAAUACAUAUGCAUGAUGAAAACAUUUUCAAAAAAAAAAACACUUUAUAAGCAUGCAAAAGACUGAAAAACGAUGUACACUGAUAGGCGAUACACUCUUUCUCUUUGACAUCCAAAUCGUUGCUGUUGAGCGGCUAUCUAGCUACAAGGUUGUCAACAUCCAGUGGCGUAAGCAGGUCAAGUAUGGUUGGGUAUUUCUCGGAGGCAGUCAAGAGUUGCGCUUGGUGACCCUGUAGGGAAGUACGUUGGCUACGAUGAAAAGAACCGUAUAGCUUUUUCCAAUGCAUAUAUGAGAAUCAGGGCCACCUUGGACAUCAAUGUGCCAUUGCUUAAGGAAAGGAUGGUCGGCCUUCAUGACGGAUUGGAGCUUACAUGCAAGUUCAAAUACGAGCAGCUCCCGUGGUUCUGUUACAUCUGUGGGAUCAUAGGCCACGUGGAAAGAAAGUGUGAGCUCCGAUGCCAAUUCCCCGAGGAACAACUACGUUCCAAUGAGAUGAUUCAAUUAAAGUCCCAACCUGGAAGGAUAUGCAGCAUCAAACUGCAAGUCACUGGAACCUAAUGAAGACGCGUACACCGGAACAGAAACAGGCCGCAGCAGAAGCUACCCGAAAACCAUUCAUUUGACCGAACCUUUCACUGCCUCUGUCUUUCCCCUUUCCCCUCUCCAUGUGUGCGAUUCUUCGAAAAUCCAGAUCCUACACCUUGAACUUCAAUCUCUAUUAUCUAUUCUCCUUUCUCUCAUUCAAUCUGAUAACCAGUCGCUACCUCUCAGCUCUUUCUAUGACUGACCCUUGGGCUAGGCUCUCAAUCAGAAAACAGUUGUCAUCUCUUUUUUUUUUGUGCUUCCUCUCCAGUCACAAACGAGGGGUUUGGUCGAUCUUGGUCAGAAACCAGUUUCGGUGCUUCCUCUGCAGCCAAAAAAAAAAUGAUUUCUGUUGACUAGCUAUGAUGGCAGUCACCAAAGGUUUGAUGAAGAAGACGAUGAGCAGCAAGCAACUGCAGUCUCAGUUUCAUGGCGGAGGCGAAAUACGAGUAGGAGUCGGCGGCGAUCAAAGCUGUGGACGUGGUGGCAGUGAGGAACAGAUACAGAGAAAAUUUUAAAGAAACUCUCAUCGAACAACCGAUCUCGCUGAUCGGCACCGAACUUGAUCCAAGUAAGCAUCUUUCCGUCAAUGUUAACUGUAAAAUUGACAUAGAUAUGGAGAACUGCUUUUAUAGCAAAUACCAACUCCAAUGAUAUCGGCAAAAUACUGCAAUAACAUUCACAUACCGGGUAAAAAACAUUGUUUACUUAUCUUGGCUCUGGGCUCGACGUUUGAGAUUAUCAUGGAGCAGAGUAAACAUGAUUUCACAAGGAUUGAAUGAAUAGAAUAUGUCCAUAUUAGCUUCAGCUAUCUAUUUUCUAUGCUGUCAUGCUCUUGGUGUUGCCAUUGUGAUUGGGCCAAUGCCUUUUUUUCACUUUCCAUUGAUCUCUUGAGAGUCACCAGAGGGUGACUAAAAGCUCUUAUUCCACCAUAACAAUAAAUGUUUAUAUAGAUUGUGAUUAGUAGUAGUUCACAACAAUAUUAAACCAGCUCUUGAUCAGUAUCAUUUUUUACUUUGUUCAAUAGGUAGAAUUUGGUUUAAUCUUUCGAAAUGCAGUUGGAUUGGAAAGAGUCAUCAUAUAAUUAAACAAGCAUGAUUCCAUUUGUCUGCUAUAUAUUUAGGUAGUGAUUGAUAUAUGCGUGUGCUAGAUGCUUAGAAUAGUAGUAGGUCACUGCUCAUAUAUGCGUGUGCUAGAUGCUUAGACCAGGAAUCUUUUUUUGCAAGACAAGGAAUCUACAACAUGAAAAUUUGCCCCUUAGCGGUCACUGAUCCCGUGCCUGCAAAAUAAUGAGGCUUUCGUGAUGAAAGCGUUUACUAAGCAAAUUGUAAACCAUAAACAGAAUCAUCAGGCACAGACAGUAAUAAAUAAUAAUACCAAGAAGCGCUUCUUGUAGAAGCCCACCACCUCUCUGGAAUCGCUCUUGGUUUCCCAUCAACCCUCUUCAUGUCCUGAAUCCAAGCAGCAAGUUGUGGCCGUCCACCAGUGAUAUCGUAGUUCCAAGCUGCAGGCAGGAAUAUCUCUGCUCUUUCAACGAAUGGAAUGUAAGCUACCUGGAGAAACAGAGUACUACAAAUUAAACGCCAUUUUUCACACAACACUAGCUACCAAAAAAAUAGAAUGAUUAGAGAUUAGUGUAGUGUCUAAGCUGAACUGUCUGCCAAGGAAAAAGGGCCCGUCUUUGAACUUCCCAAGGGCAGCUUCCACCGCAUCAAAUGCAGGUUAUAGUACUCAUAACAGGUUAUAUUACCGGCUUCUCUUACUGUUUCUCCUUUAAAAGAGUUGAGAAUCAUCUCGGUGAAGUCAUCGGAGUAUGACAGCAAUUCCUCAGCAAAACUUUUCCUUUCACCAUCCUGUUUCACGACCAAAUUCCAAAAGGGGUCACAACUUAUUGUAUAGCUUUUGAUGUUUGGAAUACGAUUGAACCUUAUGUCUGGGAAGAAUGGCGGGCCGUCGAAAUUGGUGUCGACAUAGCGUAAUAUAUCGAGGCUUUCCACGAUGUAUUUUACCGUUGUGUUCCAACGCUGGCACCUUUACUUGUGCGUUUACUUGCUUUUACCAGGACGGCUUGUCUUCAAGGUUUAUCGGAACCAGCUGGAUCUUGUCCUUUAAACCCUACUAAUAAAACAGUAUACCUUUUUCAUGGAUUAGCUUGAGAGAGGGAGAAGAAGGGAACAAACGAGUAAAAUUGAGAGGACCGACCUUGCAAUUCCUGCCAAUCCAGGCGCGCUGAGCAAAUGGACUUCUGUAACUCGCGUACAAUCUGGCGGUGGCGGUUCCGUUAAAGGGAGGCGGCGCGUGGCUGGCGGAAUCCAGCGACGGAGGUAGUGUCUCUCUGGCGUUGGAUAUAUACGAACUUCCAACCAACACGCAACGGUAAAACAAUUGAUGUUUUGGCUAAAGAGAACCAAAAAAAAACUUUCAUAACGUCCUUUGCAAGUUCUUACUCUGCCCCCAUGUCGAAGCUGCAAUUAGAACAGAGCUCCUGUGUCUCUCACGUACCAAAUUCUGAAACUGGGCUAUUGUUUUGGGUAUGUAGCAAACUGUCCAAGAGGACUUCCGUUUUGCUUUUCUGAUGGCUAGGGGCUGGUGAUGUGGCAACACUUGUCGGAUUCAGGUAGCUGAUCGCUUACUGUGGUGUUAGCUGUCAGUUCUCACAACCCACCAACUUCCACCUGGGGAUCCAACCGCAGCUAACGGUAUUAACUUUGCACUAACUCCCCGUCUGCAUCAGCUACCUGAACACUCUGCACAAGCAAAAGAAUAAACGUGUAGCACAACUGUAGACGUUGAUAGGUAAAAACUAAAACAGACUUAGAAAUGGAUGAAUCACUCCUUUCCUUUUAUGGCCCAAACUUUGUGAAAUUAAAACUGGAAUUUAGAGAUGUGAGAAGAACACAACUUGUCCGACAAACAUUGCAAUGUAUAAAUUUGGUCUUUCUACAACCACCCAUACAAAACUUAUUGGGGCUCAUAUUUCUGCUCAUGUUUCGGGAUGCCGAUGCUGCUUUUCAACCGGUUUCCCAAGCAGCAGUUCAAUAUACAAGAUUUGGCCGGCAUCUCAUUCAUUCGUCAGACUCAGAUUUCUUCAAGAGGCUAAAUAUCACGCCUAUGCUGAGGCUUGUUGCCACAAACCCAAGAGAUGCCUCCGUUGAUACGUGAAAACCUGAAGAUGAAGUUUUCGAGGACUGUCAAAACUAUUACCCGAGAACGGAAGUUCAAAGCAUAAGAUAGAACGAUAGACAGUGAUGAUGGAUUAGAUGAUAACUCACCGAAGAACUCGAGUAUCAUCUUGCAUCCAAUGAAGCCUAGGACGAUAGCAAUCGACGGCUAAUGACACAAAAGUAGAUGGGAAAUAAGUCGUUUCAUAAAAUGAAUGGCAGUUCACACCAAGUAUAAGGAAUUACAGAGACGAGCUGAGUUUAAUUACUUGCAAAUACUCCAACUCUGACAUACUCUGGGAGAUGAGCGUGAAAAACGACCUCAGACCUGUGUUAUACAGAUUAUAGCCCACUUAGAUCAAGAGAGAGCUGAAUGUCACGGCACAAAAGAUACCAUAUAACUAGUUACUUGUGCUUAAAUUAACUGCAAAACCAAUAAAACUGCUAAAGCAAAGCGUCCCUAAAUAGAAGUUACCUAGUAUUGCAAAAAGGUUGGAAGAGAUAACAAUGAACGGAUCUCGUGUAACACCAAAAACAGCAGGUAUGGAGUCGACCUACAAAAUAACGGUGCAUGUCAAUUUCAAACAGAAACCAGAAACCGCACACAGACAAAUAAAUAAAUAUUUCGACCAGAGGACGAUUUCUUACAGCAAAUGCAAUAUCGCUGAGCUCAAGUACAGCUACUGUGAGAAGUAAGGGUGUGGCCUGCCCAAAAUGGUUGAUGCCUGUUAGGGAUGUGGUCAGAAAAAAAAUUACGUACAUCAGAAUGCUUAGCAUGAUAUGCAACAAAUGACAGCAUGGAUUAACAAGUUGAUCAUGCAAAACAAGAUCUUGUGAAAGAAAAUGACUUACUUUCCACACACCCUCGUGCAUUGUUAUAAAUCGAUCCCCGUCAUAUUUAGCUGUAAAACUAAACAUAAGUUAACCAAGAUAAGAGACAAAAGCAAACAAAGAACCAAUCUUGGAGUUGCAGAAAAUGACGAUCACAGUGUGCAUGCUCCACAACAUAUGAUCCCAGGAAAUUACAUGUGACCGGAAUAAAUCUCUGGCAAAUCUUCACAAUAAACUUGUCGGAUAGAUCAGUGUCAUCUUCUUCACUAACAAAUAGUAACUGCAAAGUCAUUAGGCAGCUGUGUAAGCAUACAAACAAGUGAACAACUGGAUUGUGUUGAAGAAGAGAAAUCCUCUCUUAACAUUAUGAAGUACCUUGAAAGAUGAGUAUAGCAAUAUUCCUGCCAGGAGUAGGUUGACUGCCUCAAAUCUCUGCAACAACAAAAAUAACAAAAUUGUGCAGAAAGGCCUCCUACUGAUAAUUCGAUAAAAAUGCUCAAGAUUCUGUAAACAAUGAUUGAGAUCUUCAAACAUCAAUAAAAUCAAUGCUUAGUGUUUACCUGAAGAGUGACCGUUCCAAGAAGUAUCAACGACAAACGAAAGAUGAUUGCGCCAGCAAUACCAUACGAAAGCACUCGAUUCUGCAGUUCACAUAACCAAAGGUUCCAUUUCUAUUUAACAUCAUGCUGUGCCACGGAACAAUACUCAAUUAGGUGAAGAGAGACGUACAUCUCACCUGAUACUUGAGUGGUACUUUAAAAUAGUUAAAAAUCAGAACAAAGACGAAUAGAUUAUCAACAGACAAACUUUGCUCCAAGAGGUACCUGAAGGAAGGAGCAUAGAAGGUUUAGUUAGAAUAAAAACUCCUAAAUCAACUAGCAAUGCAACUACGAGGUCAGAGACAGAAUUGACCCCCCAUUUUGCAUACCCAGCAAAGAACUCCGAUGCCUUGCCAACUCCUUCUUUCAGACCAAUGCCAAUUCCAAAUGCUACCGCACUGCCAACCUAUAAGAAUGAAUUGAAGUCGUUGGUUCAUCUAAACAAUGGAGCGAAAAGAGGCAAUUACCUAAAGUCGAAUCACAAUAGAGUUUCUGAGUACUCACACAUAGAGCAACGGUUUUAACUGAUGUCACAUACGAUUUAUCUCCCUCGGCUUUAUCCAACGCAUCAUCAUGUCUUUCAGAACUGAUCUUCUCAGCUUCUGACAAGUAUGAUGAAACAAGCAACUCCAAUCAGAUAAUUUAUAAUUGACGGUCAACUGAUUCAUUACAGAGGUGGAAAUGGGGAAACACUAACCGGAGUUGGAUAAAUCUCCUUCCUUCUCAGUGCCCCUUGCACCAGCAACCUGACAAACCCGCCGGCGGCCUCCAUUAGCGGCUGAAAAUCCAUCAAUUUUACAAUCCAUUAGAAUCGCGGAUUGAUUAUAAUAAUAGUGAAAACUAGGAGAAAUGAGGGACAGGAGGAAGGGAAAGAACCUGCGGAAACGGAAGGGAAUUGGGGCUGAACGAGCUGAACCCUAAUACAUUUAGGAUCAGUUGAAAGCCUGAGCGAGAAGGGAUUGAAGUUAAUGGGAGGAGCUCGAAUGUCGUCGUGGAUUGCGGAAGCCAGCCCCAGAACUCCCCGUGGAGUUGCGGCUUUGAGGUGGAGAUUGAAAACCAUUGGACUGAAUAAUCAGCGCAGAUUCUAAACGAGAAAGUAAAGUGGAAGUGGAAUGGUUUUGACUUAUCCUUCUUCUACUGAAUCCUCUGUGCGUCUCUCUGGCCUUCCUGCCUGCGCAUUGGGAUGGAUGGAACUCUGUUCAGUUGCUAUGGUGGGAGGGAGAGUGGGGGGCGUGUGGCAGUCUUCAGCCUAGAGACGGGCAUCUGUUUGCUGACGUGUCACCUUGUGGCAAGAAGCAGCGGUGCAUAUUCAUUCAACGACCAAUGCAAGGAUCGGAUUUGACUUUUAAAGAGUUCAAAGCAUUGGGGUCACUCAAGUUUUAGAUAUAUUCUAUUUCGGUCACUCGGCUUUGUUUGAACAACCACAAUACUCUGUUUUAAGGUAGGUAACGAAUUGGUUAUUUCAUACAUUUCCGUCCGAAACUCAUUAAAAAAAUAUGACGUGACUAACAAAUUUUAUUAUAAACUACAUAAAAAAAUUCCAUAUGAUUAAUUUUCCCCUCUGUCAUACAUACCCAACUUGUUUAGAAUUACUCUUGACUCAAAAUCUGCCCGAGCUUUCUUCUAUCUCGAAUUCUGCUUCACUUGCUACAAUCACCACUACAUCGUCCAAAUAACAAUGUCCAGCCGAGUUCCCAAUUUAUUGAUAGAUUUUGGUUUAACGAUAGUGUGUUUGAAAUAAUGGUGUAUGUUUGGAUGAUGGCAGAUAGAAGGUUGAGAGAGAGGGAAAGUCGGAAACUCAACGGGAUAACCACAUCUGAGAUUAUGUUGUGGUGGUAGUGACAGGGUAGGAGUUCUGACAAGUAUAAAGGACCGACAGAUUUUGAGUUAUGAAUAAGUAAAUUGAUUGUAAAUAGUUUGGAUGAGUGAUUGAAUGAUAUUUUUAGAGGAAUAUUAUUUCACGUCUUAAUUUUCGUAUUAUAUGACACCCUAAAUUUUAUAAAGAUGAAAUUAUUUAAAUUUAUUCAUGUGAGAAGGGCCCCGGCCGAAACCGGCCCAACCGGCCCACACUAGUGCCAGCCGGAACGAAUUUCCAGUCGUAGCUUGUGUGGGCCGAAACCAGCGGCUGGUCAGGUCCCUUCUCGGCCGAAACGAGCGACCGGCCAGGGCAUCUGAAUGCACCUUUUUUUCCGUACCUGAAACGGUCGCUUCCGAUCUUCGAUUUCUUCUUCAGAUCAACGUUUGAGAGUGUUUGUGAGAGAUUGUGAGUGUUGAUUGUGUUUGAGUUAGUCAAUAUACACAACUUCUUAUAUGGAUUUCGAUUUUAUGAAAGGAUAAUAUUAUCAUUUACUCAAGUUACUGCGUCCUUUAACUCGAAUGUUAGGGCGUCAAAUAGAGAUUUAUAAAAAAAAUUAAAUUCUAUUUUUUUAACAAAAAAAAUAAAAGAAAGUAUAUCAUGUAUAAUACAUUUAAAAAAAAAAGGUAGCCAGGUAAGUGGUUGAAACAUGGUUUUCACAAUCAUAUUGAUAUGUAGAAUCAGUGAGUUUAUCAAAAGCCCUCAACUGUCAUAUCGCUAAGCGGGAUGGUAGCAGCAGCAGCAGCAUACGCCCGUCACAUAAUUUGCCAAUCUCACACACACACAUAUAUAUAUAUAUAGCAAAGAAACCCAUUAAAUAAAGAUGUAAGAUGUAAUGAGAGUAGCCAAAUUUUAUUCAAUUUAUCUAUGAUCCACUAAAUAGGCUUAAAACGCAAUCAAAAUGUAUUCUCGACACUAACACUAAAUUUUAUCUCUACGAAUAAGAAACAUCAUAUCAAUCGCUUUAACGUCCUCUGCGUUAUCUAUCUUUGUAAAAGUAUCGUCAACCUUUGCAGUUGAUAAAAGCAUUUUCUCGAGAUUUAACACGCAGCAUGUAUUAUAAAAUAUGGAACGUACGUAACUCGUUGAGACUUGAGGAGCAAGCAAGGAUAACCUGUUCAAGUCUAUUACAUCUUACUACUGCCUCCACACGGAUCACACCAUACAUUCAGGAAUCAAGUUCACAGAUUGUCUUAAUGAAGAUAGAAAUAUAACAUUCCGCAACACUAGAUAUAUUAUCAACCUUCAUAUUGAAUUCUACCUCCGGAAAUCACAAACAUCAUAUCGACCGAUGGAUGAUGAUUUCGAUAAAUCAUCGAGUCAUCAACGCUCGUUAUCUCCACAUCUUUAAAGUGGUGUCGCCAACACUUGCAGUCAUUGGAUUAUAACGGGAUUAGGGUGAGGGGACAAAUAGAGGUUGCUUCCGCUGUUAUCGAUUUUUUCAAAUCUUUGUACUCGGAACCACACUCUAGUAGGGUGUUUCCGGAGGAGAUUGAGUUUCACAGGGUUCCUCAAGAGUCGAAUAGUGUCCUGUGUGGGGCUUUUACAGAGGAUGAGAUUGCUUUGGCGGUUCGCAAUUGUGCCGGGGACAAAGCACCCGGAAGCACCCUUCCCAUACGGUUUCUCCAUAGACUUUUUCAAGAGAUAUUGGAGUAUGGUGAAAGCUGACGUGUGUGUUGCAUUCCAAGAAUUUUUUGAGUGUGCUUCUCUCCCACACGCGGCUAACAGUUCCUUCGUGGUCCUUAUCCCGAAAAAGGAUACAGUUGAGGAGUUUAAGGAGCUGCGCCCUAUCUGUUUAGUGGGUUGUUUUUACAAGAUGUUAUCUAAGGUGCUGAUGACCCGGCUUAAGAGAUGGAUGCCACAUGUGAUCUCACAACAACAAUGUGCUUUCGUUCCUGACAGGCAUAUCUUAGAUGCCUCCUUAAUAGCUAACGAGCUCAUCGACUCAAGAAUCAAAGGGGGGCGUCCAGGUUUAGUGUUCAAAGUAGAUAUUGAAAAGGCUUAUGAUCAUGUCAACUGGGAGUGUCUCUUUAGAGUGUUACAGAACAUGGGUUUUAGUACUAAGUGGAUUGACUGGAUAAGGGCUUGUGUGACUUCAGCUCACUUUUCUAUCUUGGUGAAUGGAGAAGCGUCCGGUUAUUUUCAGGGUUCUAGGGGGUUGCGUCAAGGAGACUCGCUUUCGCCUUAUCUCUUCCUCGUGGUUAUGGAGGUGCUUUCUGGUAUUCUUCAUAAGCUUCAGUCUGUAGGAUUGUUGAGUGGUUUCUUCAUGAAUGACUCCCUCAGAUUGGGUUUGGUCUCUCAUAUUUUGUAUGCGGAUGAUGCCAUGCUGUUUUGUGAUGCCACUACCGAACAGGUGCGGAUUCUAGUUGCUGCACUUAUAUGUUUUGAGAGCAUCACCGGUUUAAAGGUGAAUCUGCACAAGUCCUCUAUGUUUGUGAUUGGAGAAGUGGUGGAUGCCGCGUCAUGCGCCAACAUUUUUGGUUGCGAAAUUGAAACUUUGCCUACCUCCUAUUUGGGUCUCCCGCUUGGAGCCCACAGCAGUAAAGCGAGUCUUUGGGAUCCAGUCUUGCACAAUCUUGAAAGGAAGUUGGAGGGGUGGAAGGCAAGGCACCUGUCGUUUGGUGCAAGGACUACUUUAUUGCAAAGUGUGCUUUCUAGCCUACCAGUUUACUUCAUGUCGUUGUACAAAGCGCCUAGCUCGGUUAUUGCUAAAGUGGAAAAGUUACAAAGAAGGUUUCUGUGGUCGGGCACAAAUGAUAAGGAUAUGAUUCAUUGGAUUAAUUGGGACUUGGUUAAAACUUCUAAGAGGCGAGGAGGUCUUGGUAUUCAAGAUAUGAAGAGCCUGAAUUUGGCUUUGUUGGGGAAGUGGGUGUGGAGAUAUGCAGUUGAGAGAUCGGCGUGGUGGCGAACCCUGAUUGUGGCUAAGUGUGGUGAGGGCCCAUCUUCGUGGCAACCAGUUUGGAAUUUGCGUCAGACUGGUCUUUCAGUGUGGAAAUGGAUCGUCCUUCAUAGUUCUAGUUUCUGGUCUCACGGUUACAUUGAUCCUGGGGGAGGUUUUUGUGCAUUUUGGUUUGAUUUUUGGGUGCCGGGUGUGAGGUUGUCGAGUCUCUAUCCAAGAAUUGCGGCUGCAGCCCAAUUUUUAGAUAGUCUAGUGUCGGAUAUGUUUGAGGUACAUGACGGUAGAGUUUGGAGCAUUCCUUUGCAGGUUGUUUUGAGAGGUGGUGCUUUGGACGAAUGGAAUCGACUCAUCCAACAUCUCGAUUCCAUUCCCGAAGACACUAUCACGGCUGGCCCCGCGAGCAUUGUGUGGCCCUUGGAGCUGGCAGGGGUUUUCUCGGUGAGAUCCUACAGAGCAGCUCUCUCGGUGCAGAGAUUUCCUGGUUCCAACCACUUCCCGCAUGACAUGGUAUGGAGUAAUAUUGUUCCGUCAAAGAUUCAAAAUUUCAUUUGGAUGGUUUUUCAUGGGAAGAUUGCCACUAUUGACAAUCUUCAACGUAGAGGGUUUCAUAUGGUCGGAAGGUGUGUGAUGUGCAACCGUCAUUAUGAGUCGGUUGACCACCUCUUCCUUGGUUGUGAUUUUUCUGGCACUAUUUGGAAUCGUCUUAGUUCGGCACUUUCCUUAAUAGGACCGUUCCAUGAUGAUGUGGUCAGUUUCUUACUAGCGUGGAAAGGUAUGAACUGUAUUGCUAAUUUCAAGGGUGUCAUGAAGGUGUUGUUACAUGCUACGUUUUGGUGUAUUUGGACGGAGCGGAACCAUCGUAUCUUUAGAGAGGAGUUUAGAUCGCCGAUCCAAAUUUUCACAGAGCAAGUCAGUCAGGUCAAUCUUCGUCUCUUCCACCUAGGUUGAUAGAGAUUGAGCAACUAUAUUCUACGAUGAAACGCGGUUCGGGACUUGGUAAAAUGAUUGGUUGGAUAUGAUUUUUUGUUUCAGAUUUGAUCUCACCAAACCAAAAUGUGAAAGGGGGUCUGAGAUUCAAAAACUUUAAACUGUUGCAUCUGGCGCCUUUUAUCAAAAAAAAAAAAAACACUUGCAGUCAUUGGGACACUUCUCGAGAUUUUCCCUUGCAAUUUGCUCGGUGAUAUACUGUAUGGAUGUUGCAAUAGGAAAACAAGUUACAAGUCUAUUCGAUAUGAUCCACAUUCAUUCAUUCAUUCCUGCAAGUAAAUCACCAAUAUGGACUCACCGGGAAUAGACAACUGUCGCAACUUGACCGAGCUAUGGACAUCCUCUUCGGAUGGAGCAUCCAUAAAAGACCAUCAACAAGACGAUUUUUAUCAACCUCGUUGAAAUAUGGAUCUGGUCUAUUCAAAGGCGGCAAAUAAAUCCACAUAAGUAAAUGUUGGACCGUUAUAGGAGUUGCUUCACAACAUCCGACUUGACUCAUAUCCAACUCUGAAACCUUUGUGAGGUUGAAGACAUCCAGCUUGAAAACCAGGCGGCGAAAACAACCAGUAGCCAAUAAUGCUGCCAUACACUUGCUCAACUCGAUGAACCAACUGGUUGUUAUCCUGCGGCCGGGAGGAACAUUACAGUCAAAUACACAUCGGCAGUUCGGAGCUACAUUGACAACAGUGGAGUUGAUUUUGAGCAGAGAGGUUCUGAUGGUUAGACUUGUCAGAUUAGGAGCAUCAAUCUCAAAUUCCAUCAAACAGGCUAGAGUUAAUUCCCAGAGUGUACCACUCGAAAUCUUUACCCUAUUGUGGCUUGAGAUGUUUGCUGCAUUCAAGUAGAGAGACUCGAGAGAUGGGAACUUGGAAAUCAAUUCCUCGAGGGUGCUGCCGCUAAUUUUGCCCUCAGGUGAAAGCUUUACUGAUUUUACACUUGGAGCUGAAACUACUUUCAGGGUCUCACAGCUUCCUUUGAAGUGAAAAGUCUGGACAGUGGCUGAGUUGAGCUGCAGUGAUACGCAGCGGAAAUCGUUAUCAAAGGAAAGAGAUAUCAACCUGGGGAAAUUAGAAGCAGAGAUAUCAAUAUCCAAGCUAUCGAUGCUCUCGAUGAUUUCUUUCAAACUCAAUUUCUCAAGAUGAUGAGCAUUAGCCAGGCAGCUAGGAAAGCUCCGUUUGCUAACCCGGACGUUUUCCAGAAUGAGUUCCUCGAGAUUGUCGAGACGGGUCUUGUGCAAUCGGCUUAGGUCGAAACCUUUCAGUUCGAGGAAUUUGGUGUGGCUGCAAUUAAAAAGCAUUCUUCCUUCAAGGUAACCAAGGAAAUUGACAGCUUUAAUCACGACUUUAAGAGGGGAUUUGCUGCUGCCAUCAUCCUCGCCUAUCGACGCUGAUGACAGCAACUGGUACAACAAAUGCUGAUUUUCCAAACGUGGCACUGUGAUGGUGAAUGAAUCCAAAAGUACCGGUACCUCUUGCAGCCUCCUAGAAGUAGUAGCAGCAAAGCUCUCGAACCUCUGUGAUUGGUUAGCAGCAAAGCUCUCCAACGUCUGUGAUCGGUCACCCGGAAACUCUACAACUGUGGAAAAGAGCCCUCUUCUGCUUCUUUUCGCCGCCGCUGGUAAGCUUGGAACGAUGAUUUCUUCCGCCGCCUUCUCCUCCAUCCUCCUCGCCAUGAUUGCUCUUUUCUUCUUUCUUCUGUGUUUGUUUUUGGUGUGCUUCGACGUCGCCAUGGAGAUCCGACUCUCAGAGCUCCAAGCGAAGAUGUUAACACGCAGCCACAAUUCGUCGUACGUCCACAGAGUAUUUAAAUUGAAAUAAGUUGGGCUCGGCUCACUCGUUCGGUUAAUUAAUUAAGCCCACGGCCCAUUCAAUCAAACAAACUGAAUCAACGUACGUGGGCUGUAGGGAGUCCAACUGCACUUCUCUUUCUAGUCUAAAAAUGUAUUUUUACCACAUUAUUAUUAACCUUGUGGCCGGAUUCAUAUAGUUUUUAUUUCUUUUAACUGUAAUGAAUAUACUUAUACUGUUUAUUUAAUUGGUUAAUUUAGAAAAAUAUUUUGAUACCUUAUAUGAAAUUUGAUAAAUAAAAUAGAUUAUUUGAUCAUAGUACUCAAAAAGGAAGAAACCGUAUUUAUGAGACAAAGGAGAAACCAGAUAAAUAACCCAUGGGAAGAGUAAAAAUUUCAUACUUGGAAGUAUCGAAGAUAGCAUUGAAGGUUUUGCUGUAGUCAUACUCGUUUCCUUCUUUAUAUCUCUGCAGCAAGAGAGGACGAAGAGCCACCGCCGUACAAGGGAACUCCCCGACUGAGUGAAGGGUAAUAAUGAGCCGAGCGAAAAUUGCUCCGGUUUUCUUCUCACUCGUCGAUAACAUUUCUAGCGGAAGGAAUCAUUCGUCGACAUCACACUGUUUUAAGCCGCAUAUGUACUGUUCUUGAGCAUUAAUUAAAUUAGAUUCUACUUUUUUUUCUUCCAAAACGAAUGCAUGUUAUUAAUAAUGAUCUUUAAAACAAACAUCACCAACAAAGCUGUUCAUCCAUGCUGGAGGGACGUAGCUAGUAAAAGGCUUCGUAGUAGUAAGUUAUCGCUGAGCAAGCUCAUAAGCAACAACAUUACUACACCUCCUAGUAAAAGAGACAGUAACAGAAUGAAAAACAUAAAAAACAGAUCGCCGAUGAUCAAUGAGGAUGCCAAACUCAGAGGAAUCAUGAUUCCUUGCCCGGACAGCUUGUGCCACCACUUGAGAGUCGGUUUUGAAAUGUACGUCCUCUUAGCCUUCCUCGAUGCACUAGAGAGCUGCAUGAACCAACGCCUCGGCCUCACACUCUUUCACUUCUAAAACGCUACGCCUAGAUCUUCCACCGUAACCCAAAAAAAAAAUUAAAUUCUACUUUUUUUAACAAAACAAUAAAAGAAAGUAUAUCAUGUAUAAUACAUUUUUAAAAAAAAAUUAGAUUCUACUGUUUUGGGUCUCGAAGACAGUGAGGGGCGAAAACUGCAAAGCCGGAUAGAUGUCGGAUGGACCUCCAUUUUUUAGCUGUAAAACUAAACAUAAGUUAACCAAGAUAAGAGACAAAAGCAAACAAAGAACCAAUCUUGGAGUUGCAGAAAAUGACGAUCACAGUGUGCAUGUUCCACAACAUAUGAUCCCAGGAAAUUACAUGUGACCGGAAUAAAUCUCUGGCAAAUCUUCACAAUAAACUUGUCGGAUAGAUCAGUGUCAUCUUCUUCACUAACAAAUAGUAACUGCAAAGUCAUUAGACAGCUGUGUAAGCAUACAAACAAGUGAACAACUGGAUUGUGUUGAAGAAGAGAAAUCCUCUCUUAACAUUAUAAAGUACCUUGAAAGAUGAGUAUAGCAAUAUUCCCGCCAGGAGUAGGUUGACUGCCUCAAAUCUCUGCAACAACAAAAAUAACAAAAUUGUGCAGAAAGGCCUCCUACUGAUAAUUCGAUAACAAUGCUCAAGAUUCUGUAAACGAUGAUUGAGAUCUUCAAACAUCAAUAUAAUCAAUGCUUAGUGUUUACUUGAAGAGUGACCGUUCCAAGAAGUAUCAACGACAAACGAAAGAUGAUUGCACCAGCAAUACCAUACGAAAGCACUCGAUUCUGCAGUUCACAUAACCGAAGGUUCCAUUUCUAUUUAACAUCAUGCUGUGCCACGGAACAAUACUCAAUUAGGUGAAGAGAUACGUACAUCUCACCUGAUACUGUUAGACAUAAGUAAACCAAAUAACCCAUUCGUUAUCCAUUUGAAAUCUUUUUUUCUGGUAAAAUCUACUUGCAACUUAUGUCAUAAGUUUGUUUAAAAAAACGAGUAAUCUGUCUGUUAAUAAUUGUAACCGUAUUUCCCUUAUUGGGCCUCCAAGGUUCCAGCCCAGAUGUUGUAUCUGAGAAUUUGAAAUUCACAGUUUCUGGCCCAGCUCACCUAACUGGAACAAAAUAUCUCAGCGAAUCACGCGUGCCUGUUUCGUAUUCUUUUUCCAAUUUCCCACGGAUCGUCGCUCAGUACCUCUCAUGCCAGCAUUAAACUCGCGAGACACGACGCUGAAAUCGGACAGACAGCCCUAAUCGCUCCUCCAUCUCUCCUCUCACCUACUCGUCAUUCGUCAAUGGCAAACGAAACCGAUCUACCAAUCGCCGUCGCCGUUACCAACGGUGGUUCUGAAGCUACCCUUGUCAAAGAACCUUCUUCCACGAAGCCUAUUGGAGGAGUCGUACCACCGUCCGACGAUGUUUUAGGUAAGGAAUAUGGGGAGGAUAAGGGCGGGUUGGAUUCGGCGAGCAAGACUGCCGCCUCUGUGUCGGAAAGUACCGACUCCGUCACGGACACGGAGAAGAAAAUCCGACGAGCUGAGCGAUUUGGAAUUUCUGUGAAGUUGUCUGAGGAAGAGAAGCGCAGCUCUCGUAUUGAAAGGUGCCUCUAAUUUACUGCUUUCUUUCUGUCGAUUCUUGCAAUUGGUUUGUUUGCAUUUGAGAUUAGGGUUUGGAGGAUUUUAAUAUUUAAAUUGAGACGAUGCUGCUAGCUGGAUUGGGGGUUUCAGACUUUUCAUAGAAUGUGUUUUCGCUUAACCUGAGAAAUUGCCAAAUUUUUCAGUGUUCACUUGCAUAGAUUCCUCCACGACUCGUGAAUACAUCCUCCAUUUUCCAUUUGGUUAACUAGCAUGCGUAGUUUGAACUGUAUGCAUGUGGUUCUGACCGAUUGGGUUAUUAUUGGGAUUGCUGGUAUAGGAUGAUAGUUUGUCUCCUGCAUGAUUCUGUUCCCCCUUUUGAUCAUGUGCUCACGAGCCUACUCUUGCAGGUUUGGUACUCCAUCGGUGAAGCAAGGUUCUGCUGGACCGAAGAAUUCAGAGGAGUUGAAAAGGAAGUCUAGGGCAGAGAGGUUUCUUAUGUUCCAAUUUUUUGGUUUCUAUUUACGUAGCUUGCCAGAUUCCAGCUUGUUGAUUCUAAUGAUAUUUGCUUCGUAGAUUUGGGCUGCCUGUACCAGCUGAACCAACUGCACCAACUGAUGCUGAAGCAAAGAAGAAAGCUCGGCUGGAGAGAUUUGGAUCGAUACCCAAACCCAAUGCAGUUGAAGAAGACAAGAAGAAAGCCAGGGCUCUCAGGUUUGUGUCUCUUGAAACUUUUUUCUUCUCCUUGGUUAGGUCAUAGGUGUCAAUGUUUUUGGUCUCUCAACUUAUGUAACUGCAUUCAUUAUAGGUUUGCACAACCUUCUUCAACUUCAAUCACCGGAGAGGGUGAUGUUCAGCCAGUAAGACCAUUGGAUCAGUGUUACUUUUGUAUUUGGACAUAGUUGUAUCUCAUGUGAUCUCAGUUUAGUUACUGUUUAUUGAUUUUAUCAGAAGGAAGCAAUCGCUUGAAAGGCUGGUAGAGGGCCAUGAACAUGAAGUUCCCCUUCACUUAAUGUUAGGUAUUAUUUCUUCUUAUAUGCGCCUCUUUUUGGAUUUUAUACAUGGAUCUUGAGAUUCAAUUGUUUCAAGUAUUUUUUAUAGCCUUUGCAAUUCAUUGUGAGUAAUUGAUACAGUUUCUCUUCUGACUGUAUCUUUUGUAGUUUUGUAUUUACAGGUCUGGUAUUCCGACUGGCGGUUGACUAAGUGGAUCCUGUAUCGGUCUUUUUUAUUAUGAAGCGUUGGCUGUAAGCAUUAACAGUGUUCUUCGUUUGGCUCACCGGAUGCUUUAGAAGACCUCCUGCAGUAUGUUAGUGAUAGAGUAGAAUUAUUUUCAGUUUGAUAUCUUGGGAUACCGAUGCUUUCUGGGGCCUGGAGGGAUCAACAACUACCUGGAGUGUUCACUGCUUGCAACAGCCUUGAUAGUAUAAAGACUUCUGACUAGCUUUAGGUGUUUUCUAUAACUCUUAAAUCUUUGAGUGUCACCGAACUAUCUAGCCAUGUUUAUAUGCAACCAAUUAAACAUCAUAGGAAUUAGUUGGGUUUGCAUCUCAUGCAUAACUAUCUUGCUCUGUAGGUAAUUAUGAACAUGAACUGCGUGAAUCUGGCUGGAAAGUGGUUAUAGUAAUCAUGUGCUAGUGGUAUUAUGGGCUCUCAUUGUCUGUUCUAUCGUUUUCUGCUAAGCUUUUACAUCUCAUCAUAUCUAUCAUGGUUCUUUCUUGAGGUUCAAAGUUUUCGGGGUGGAAACUUAUAGCCACGGGUUUGUUAAUUCUGUGGAAUAUUGCGUUGAAUCUGAUGUUUGCAGUACAGUGAACGAGAGUCUUGUCUAGGUUAGGAUGAAAGAUGCACAUCUCAUCAUAUCAUGGUUCUUUCUUGAGGUUCAUGUCUGAGUUUUACUUAUCUGAAAUCUGCUUGGACUAAUCUAAGGAACUUGUUGUAUAUCUGAGAUGGAUUGUGGUGGUGUUUCUUUGUGUUUCUUGUUUUGCUCGAGUCUCUUAUAUUAUCCAGUCUAUUGGAAAGUAAUGAACACUCGGAAAGGUAUAGUUGAUUUCAUGCUGACCCCAGCCCCCCUGUGGUGAAUCUCCGUAGCAGAAAGGUGUUGUUUCCAUGGAGAAGUAAACAUUUUGGUAUCGGCAUUAGUCUGUAAUGGUUGACAGAAUAUUGUAAUCCUUUAUUUUUAAUAGUAUUAGUAUGGAUAUUUGAUAAUGGAAAUCCUCCCAUUAUGUCUGUUUAUUUUAUUUGGUCCUCCUUCGUCAUUGUUGCUCUUUAGUACUGGAAAAUGAAAUACAACGAUCUUGAACGGCGUACGGAUGUACAGUUCGAAUUCAGCAUGGAUUGAUUCACUGCUCUGCGCGAUCCGAAUAUUCUGCAUAUUACACACUAAAAUGCUACUUAUGGUGGACGAGGUUUAUUCACCCGCAACCGUAUUGCCAGCCUGUUUCCAUAAAAAAGGACUUGUGGCAGUUGAAAUCGGUCAAUGUUGGGAGACGCCUGCUUUGAUUGAGUAAGGCACACAACUCGGUCGGAGAGGACUCCUACUGACCGAAUCAUAGUCUAUGAACACGACGAUCACUGUUAUAUCGUCGUGGAAAUGUCUUCGAACUCCUGGAUCAAUCUUCUGGAGGUCUGUGUAUCUCAUCUCUCUCUUCCUGGCAGCUUCAUGGAGUGCUGCUUUCAUUAGCCUCUUCGCAAUCCCCUGCAAUAUUGAGUUCGACGAACUUUCAUUACCAGGUAGAGGAAAGUUUAGGGGCAUUGAUGUAUGUCUUUUCUUUCCUUACAUUGCGUGGGAAUCUUUGGACGAUGUCAACUGCUUCCUGGUUGCUGAGCUGUUCCCAUAGGCCAUCGGAAGCGAAAAUUACAAACCGAUCCUCUGGUUCAAACCUGUGGACUGUCACCUCAGGCUCGGAGCUAAGUAUCGGCUUCUCGAAUGUCUCAGUCAGUCUGAACUUGGGAAGCAGGGGAUCUCUCUGGAACUCUGCCUUCUUCAGGUAUGCGUCUCCGAUAGAUCUCGACACCUGAACAGACAGAACACAACAUCAACAUAAACGAAUCCGUAAAAACUUCAGAAUGCGAAAAUUUGAUUUUAUGUUUUCAAACCUGGAUGAGGCCCCUGACUCGCCAACUCUUAUGCUUCAGGACAACAACCUGCGAAUCCUCAGGAUGCAAAGCACGGAGCUCUUCCCUAACGGAUUCGAUAUUCACGUUAUGCUCAUUGCACAGCUGGACCGCUGAAGCUCUAUGGCUACCCAUCUCCACUCUCCCCAACACAGCUUUGGAGUCUCCGGCAUUAGCCACGUACAGCAUUCCGUAGCAGAAUACUCCGGCCAGGCAACACGAACCGGAGGAUGCAAUCUGAGGAGUACUCGUCCACCGCUUUUUAAUCAUUGACAGGAAAUCCUUUUCUGUCGCGGAGAACGCCUUCUUCAGUGUUGACUCGGUCACUCCCCCCUGCUCCGACACCAAAUCUAACCAACCCCAUAUAGUUUAUAUCAGAAGUAUUCAAGGAAGAAUGAAAAAUGCAGUGAAUCGUUUGUUCUGUCAAAAUCCGUUGUAUCUCAAUACUUUAAGUUGUUGGGAAAGAUCCAAAAUUGAGUUUUUAUAUUAUUUAUUAACGUAACAGGAUCAUGGGCGAUUUACGCUUACUUUUGAGAUUGAAGAAGAGAUUGUUGCUGACAAAUUUGGAAGCUUGAGGCCCUCCAUGUCCAUCGUAGACUCCGACGAAAGUGCCCAAUGGUCCAGAUUCGAGCUGGCUGUAAUCUUCCAACACACCAUUGGCUUGAAUCACAGCCAUAGAGAAAUAUCCAUAAGCGUGGCUACCUAAAUCCUUAUGCCACAUAAGUCCAUCCACCUUCCCCACUGUAUCAUCACCCUCCAUGCAACCUCUCCAACACGGCUUACCCAUUUUUGCUUUGCUUUACAAUUACCCUCAGAUGGGUAAACUAUUUAUCAUGAACUCUCUCUCUCUCUCCGUAAGCAAUAAAUGGAGAGAAAAGAACAAAUGGGUAUGGGCUAAAAUUAACAAGUGAGAUAUGAAGGAGCAGCAGCAAACAAGGCAGUGGUCACACUCUGACAGACAUGUAUGAUCCUGAGAGUUAGUUUGAGAGAAUUUGGGGGCAAAGGGACGAUCUUGGAUGUACCUUGAAUGUGGUGAAGGUGUUGUUUGUGGGGGGUGACAUGUCUCAGACUCAGAGACAAAAGCUUAGCUGUAAAAAGGAAGACAUGACAUGGAACCAGAAGGGUAUUGGCAGAAUGUUUGGUCUGUGUAAUCUGAGAGAUAAGGCCGCAGGGGGUAUAAAUUAAGAGGAAUGGGUUGAUGAUAACAAUAACGAAAAGACAAGUAUUGGUUUGGUUUACAAGAAGGUUAUACUACGUAGACUGGAGUCCUCUCUGUGGUUGUGUUGUGUUUUAUUAUGUGUCUUGUCUGGGGGCUCUUCUUGCUUGGAGUGUUCCGUCUAUAUAUGGUUUCUGCUGAGUGUCUUGCACUCUGUAACUUCACUUCUAACAGUUUCUUUUAAGGAAUUUAAUGGGGUCAAAUAUUCCAGAUUUCCACUUCAUUUUGACGUCUAUUUUGGCAAUAAUAAUCCACCGUUUUUGGGCAUUAUGUUUUUUUUUAUCCAAAACCAAGAGUUUUUCUGUGCUUUUUAGCCAAGGAAGGAUCUAAUCAUGUGAGGAUAAUUGACCUCAAGUUCGGUUCGGCUAAUUUUGUUCGAGUUCGAGGUUAAUUGGCUCAUUUGCAAGUUUUAACAAGCGGAGUUCAUUAUAGUCUAAUUACGUUACUAAAUAUUGAGACAAAAAUUCAAAUUAUUAAGAUCUCUAAAACCAACUCGCGAGCUAUACUAGUCGAGUCAACUCUCGAAGCUCAAUCGAGUUGGUAAUCAAGCCUCAAAAGAGCUGGUUUGUGAGAUAGGCUCAUCGAGCCUGCUUAUUUAAAACCGAGCCAAGACCGAGUGAUUGACCGCGAUAAUAAACUCAGCCCUCGACUCAUAAUAGUUAAGGUUGACUCAAUCUCGGCUCGUUUCGUCUAAAACCGAGUUGAGUUUCAAUUGAGUUUUUUUAGAACCAAAACACCAGUCUACUAGUUGCGAGCAGGUUCAUUAGUCAACAUCCCCAGCUAAUUAUCCAAGCAUGGUACCUAGAAUUGAUAACCAAAAUGACCCACCAACCCCAAUUAUACAGAAAGUAGUUGGAGUAUUUGGUUGAGCGAGUUGCUGCUGCUGAUGCAUGGAGAGCAAAAGAUGGGCAAGUUUGAAAAAAAUGGGAAACAACAAACAGUCAGAAAGCGAAACAAUAGAACCAGUUUCCUCUGCAUGGGUCUCUCUCCCUUUUUCUCAGCUGUUGAAGCUAAUCCUAUUUCUCCCCAACUGCAACCCAGCUCCUAUACUAUCUAUAUAUGGGUCCAUCUGGGAACUACUUUUUUGGAUUGAUACUACUUGUGCUGCUGACAAAUGCUGCAGAUACAAUGAACUCAAAUCAAUGGAACAUCUUUUCCAUGGAUUCUAACAGCUCACUUCAUUUUGUUUCAUAUGCCCACCGCCACCACCAACCUUACUAAUUGUAUUCUGACGAUAUGCAGGCCAUGAUGAACUACUUAGUGUGUAUAUAAACACAGCUAGCUAGCUAGCUAGAUGCGUGUUAUCCUUCGUUCAUCAUCCCUUCCCACAAAUUUGAGUUUUAGUCUUAAUUAUCAUGUGUCUGCAUCAGAUUGCAGAUUUGGAAAAAUCAAGAAAGAUGAUAUUCAGUGGGGGAACCAUGAGUAAAACGUUGGGGUGGAGAAUUUUGAAUCUGAGAGACGAGAAUUAUAAUUACAGUUUAACUAAAUACUAUGUAAAAAUAUACCAAGAAAUUAUAGACAAACAAAAACAAAAAUUUGGCCAAAACUUCGAACGGGCAUAUAUUAUAAACCGCUAUUGCACUGUCAUUAAAUCGAAAUUUUACAUCAUUAUUUUGACGAGUAUUGUCGAUAAUUUUCUCUCCCAAAACAGAUGUUUGAAUUAAUUUACGGCUUGCUAUCAAGGCUAAUUGUGAAAAAUAUUUAAAAAUUGACAUUAGAUCAUAAAAGAAUCUAUCGUGAAACCAAUUGUGGAGUGGAUUAUUUGGCUAAUCAAGGCUACUUUUUCUUAUAUAAUUCUUAUUUUUUCGAUUUGCUAGAUCGAAAUCUGUCUCACUGGCUAAACUAUAACAUUAUUAGGAUUUCUCUCCCACAAUUUAUUCCGAUUACUUCUAAUAAUAUUUAAGUUCACCCAAACAAUUUGUUCCGAAUGCUUAGUUUUGGGUUUGAGCGGAUGGGUUCAUGUUAAGGAGGGCCCAAACAGAAGUGGUCCGUUCGGUCCAGAUUCCAGAAGGAUGCAGCACCUGUAUGUCGUUUACUACCAUGGAAGAUGGUCCCUUUUGCGAACGUGGCAGCCGUGAGUGCCAUGCUCCCUCACUUCUUAGGGAUGGCAAAGACAAAAAUAUUCGAUCCUAUCUGAUUUUCUAUUGAACAUUUUGGGGCAGCAGGCAAUUUGCGGGAAUAGAACCGGUAACAAUAAUAACUAAGAACAAAGUAAACACUUCAAGACUUCAGCCUCAAAUCGCAAAACUCUUGAUCGCCGGGUAGGCUCCGACCUUCUCGCUGAGGGUACGUACGCAGAUGCUGGGAAGUUUCCUUGCCGAUCGCCGAUCUUAUCGCUUGCAACUCCACGCCAAGGGUUCUCGAGCUGCUGCUAAUUCGUUCGUAUGUCGCGAGAUCCUUUUCAGGCUUGAUGGGCUUCAACCCAAUUUUGGCUUUGGGCUUCUUAACCUGCAGAAAGAGAACACAAGCCCAAUCGUUAUAAUUUUUCGAGUAAUAUAACAUCAAUCUUGAUAUAUUUUAAAAAAAAUUAUUUAAUAUCAAAAUCAACAAUCAAUAAUAUAUACAAGAUUUAUUAUCAACUAUAUCUAAUCACCUUUAUUUUUUUACAUAUAUAUACUUAUCAGGUCUAUGUGUUACAUAUAUAUAUANNNNNNNNNNNNNNNNNNNNNNNNNNNNNNNNNNNNNNNNNNNNNNNNNNNNNNNNNNNNNNNNNNNNNNNNNNNNNNNNNNNNNNNNNNNNNNNNNNNNNNNNNNNNNUUAUAAAUAUCUGAAAAAUCAAAAGUGACACGUCAAUUUAUACUACAAUAUGGUGUUGCCCUACUAAAACUAAGUAAAUUAAAAUAUAUUUAUGUAUAUAUUAUAACAUUAAAUUAGGGGAUUGAUUAUAAAUAUUUAUGUUCCCUUAAUUUAUUUUUUGGUUCAAUCUUAUAAUUAUAUCUUAAAAAAAUAAAAAUUAUAUGUGUCCGUCGAAACUGGGUAAGACACUACUUUCAAUUUAUACUAAGACACUAAUUUAAAUUUAGACAGUUAAAUUUAUUAUUGGACUCGUCCUUCAAGUAAAAUUAUAUUAAAAUGUCAAGACUUAAAAAGAGUGGAAUUUAAUUAGCUAGAUUGAUCACAAGGAAAAUAUACAGUGACAGUUUCAAUUUCACCAGCACCAUAAUUUAAGUUCGUAAAUAGCAAUCAAAACGAAAAUUACUUCCACGUUGGAUAUUUCGAGUUGUAUAUAAUUUUUAUCCACGUGUCACAGAUCCAACGCCUCUUGAACAGGAAAUGUCAGGGACCCCUCCCGGACUGAAUCCCAAACACCCCAACAAACCCUGUUUGUACGGCAGGAAAGUUUUCCUCCUCAUCUCCUCCGCCGCCGCUCUGUUCGUCGUGUAAUGCAUCUCAUGCGCUGACACCGCCGCCCUCAUACGCCGCGAACUCCCCAAGCUCUCCGUCGACCGGAAGCUUGAACUCUUCGCAUCCUCUGCCGCCGCCAAUGUUGACUCCGACCUCCUCGACAGCACCGCGUACUUGAUCUCCGACGAUUGGAAACUCGUCGCCCUCCCUUCCGAAGCGCUCCUGAACAGCAACAAAUCCCUCAGCUUCCACUUCUUGUACGGCCUUCCUCCUUUGGCAAACGAGAUAGCCGACAGAAAAGCCGCUGCGUACGACUGUUUACCGGUGGUCCCUGACGAUGACGUGGCGCCGUCAUCAACCAACAUUUCGCCGGAGACUCUCAUAGGCGACAUAGACCUGCUAAUCCCCCGCCGACCGCCGGCGUGAGAGUUCGAAUUGAAAUUAGGAUCAUAAUCGAUGGACGAAGAAGAACUAAUCGCUCUCCUUUCUCUUCCUCGCUGGUCCAAUUCCUGUUUGUCGUCUCGAUUCCGCGUCUCGUCGAUAGCAGUCUGGAAAGGAUCGAAUUCCUUUUUCUUCGAAGAUUUCGAAUUCGAUUUCGGCGAGCGGGGAGAAGUGGCGGAGGAUUCAUACCCCGGAGGAGGUUUCAGCGGCCGGAUUUUGCCGCCGUAGAAAAGCUCAUCGGCGGCGGACAAAGAGCUCCUGGACAACUGGCCGCUGAAAUCGAAUUCGAAAUCAUCUUCGUCGUCGUCGUCGUCAUAGAAUUCAGUACUCUUGGAUCUGGUUCCGUUUCUCUUGGGAGUUCCGGGCUUCUCUUCCCACUCGAAAGGAACGCCGCCGCCGGCGGCGGAGGAAGAGGAAGAGAAGUUGGUGGCUAAACGUUGAGGGGUGGAAGGAGCGGUGAGGUAAGGGGUAGAGGAAGAGCUGUCAAAGUUGAACUCCGUUGCAGUGGCGGCGGAAGGUGGCGGUAUUGGCAUUACUACCUCCAUUUGGAAGCAGAGGUUGAAAACAGAGCACACAGGGGUUUUGUGAAUAAGAAGAAAGUUUUGAAUUGGGGAAGAAGAAGAUGAAGACGUUAGUUAUUUAGGGGGCCUGAAUAGAAGUGAAAUACGGCUCUUUGUGAAGCCGCCUGUAAUUACAUUUAAUCAAAUUUUUAAUAAAUAACAUGUUUGUUGUACUGAUUUUUAAUCGUUUAUAAUUUUUGAUCUCAUAAUUAUAUUCGAUUACGAAACUUAAUCAGUUAAUCCAUAGUUUGUAAAGCAUCCCAAUCUUUGAAUCUUUUACAUUUUUGUAAGUGUCGAGGGUUUUAAAUUUUGAUACGCCAAAUAAGGCCUAAAUUUAAUUGAUAGUAAUUAUAGUUGAAACAUCUUUGGAAUUCAAGUAAAUAUAAAAAAUAUGGAUUAUAUAGUGUGUAUUUUCCUCUAUCUAACUUCAAUAAGAAAAUAUAAAAAAGAUGAACUAAUAANNNNNNNNNNNNNNNNNNNNNNNNNNNNNNNNNNNNNNNNNNNNNNNNNNNNNNNNNNNNNNNNNNNNNNNNNNNNNNNNNNNNNNNNNNNNNNNNNNNNNNNNNNNNNNNNNNNNNNNNNNNNNNNNNNNNNNNNNNNNNNNNNNNNNNNNNNNNNNNNNNNNNNNNNNNNNNNNNNNNNNNNNNNNNNNNNNNNNNNNNNNNNNNNNNNNNNNNNNNNNNNNNNNNNNNNNNNNNNNNNNNNNNNNNNNNNNNNNNNNNNNNNNNNNNNNNNNNNNNNNNNNNNNNNNNNNNNNNNNNNNNNNNNNNNNNNNNNNNNNNNNNNNNNNNNNNNNNNNNNNNNNNNNNNNNNNNNNNNNNNNNNNNNNNNNNNNNNNNNNNNNNNNNNNNNNNNNNNNNNNNNNNNNNNNNNNNNNNNNNNNNNNNNNNNNNNNNNNNNNNNNNNNNNNNNNNNNNNNNNNNNNNNNNNNNNNNNNNNNNNNNNNNNNNNNNNNNNNNNNNNNNNNNNNNNNNNNNNNNNNNNNNNNNNNNNNNNNNNNNNNNNNNNNNNNNNNNNNNNNNNNNNNNNNNNNNNNNNNNNNNNNNNNNNNNNNNNNNNNNNNNNNNNNNNNNNNNNNNNNNNNNNNNNNNNNNNNNNNNNNNNNNNNNNNNNNNNNNNNNNNNNNNNNNNNNNNNNNNNNNNNNNNNNNNNNNNNNNNNNNNNNNNNNNNNNNNNNNNNNNNNNNNNNNNNNNNNNNNNNNNNNNNNNNNNNNNNNNNNNNNNNNNNNNNNNNNNAUAUAAUUCAUGCAGUUGACAAAUGUUGAAUACUCUCCCGGGAAAUUAUAAUGAUCUAUUUUUCAUCCUCGAAAACAUUUUAGGGUUUUUUAAAAGAAAAUAUUAAGGUCAUGGAUGCAAAAAUAAAAUAUAAAAACUGAAUUUGUAGUAUGUCUUUUUUCCACUUCACAGAUUCACUGCUUUUGGAGCUACUUGUGAUUAGGCAGGCUAUCUUUGUAGCAUAAUAGAUUUUUUUCUGUUUUUAGACACGGUAUGAAUUGUUCGUCUCAUUAAUUCGCGUAUUAUAGAUAUCCGCAUAGGAUAAUUAUUACCUGAAUGUCAAUUCCUUCUUCACUCCCUUCCACUCGUCUCCCUCACUCGUAUUGUUCCUCCAACUUUAUAACGUCUUUUAUUUUUCAUUUUUGUGUCAAGAUGUGUUACCUCAACUAAAAAAAAAACUUAGUUUUUUUUUUUGGUUUCAAACAACAACUUAGUUGGAAAAGUGGGAAAUAUAUAAAUGCCUAAAUGGUUGUAUGAAGAAGAAACUACAUAUAUAUAAAAAUACAACACAUGUCAAAUUGCUUAUUAGUUUUAGUUUUGGUUCAAUUUUGUUUUAAGAAAGAAAGCAAUGGCUUGGACUUUGGGGACAUACAUCCAUUCAAACCUUAGUCUUCCUAUUCUUGUUUGUUAUGUGUUCUUUGAUGACUUCUGUUUUGUUUGUUUGCAAUUCUGGUCAUCCUAUAUUCAUCACAUAGUCAUAACAGGACAAGCUGCAACCUUUAGUUGUCCUCUCUAAAAAAAUCUCAUCUAAUCGGAUGAACGGAUUUCUAACCAAAUGGUUUGUUUGUAAACUAUGUCAAAGUUGAGGGGUUAGAUCAUUUCAAUUUUUGAAUAGGGUGUCGAUGUAAAUUUUGCAUAAUACAAACGUGUAAAUGUGAUCUAUCCUCGAAACGACUACCUAUCAACUGAGUUAAAUAAAAUAUAUAUCUCCAAUCAAUUUGACUAUUGAUGGCAUAGCCCAGACUUUAAUACAACUAUCAAGUGUUGUUUGCCUUCUCAUUUCCAAAACUAACCCGUGACAUGACGAUUUCCUUUUUUUUUUAUCGUUGUACAUCCAAUUACCUAUUACCUUCUACAUCUAACGUAAGCAAUCCAGAUGGCUAAAAAACCAUACGGGAGAUCAAUCAAGUCAAGCUAGCAAUAUGAUGUACAAUGCUCAAACCAUUACAUAUCCAUAGUCGAACCGUAACUGAAUUGUAACAUUAUAUAAUUGUACCAAGACUACCGGUUCGUGUACAAUCGUCUCGAUUAAACCCUUAGGGUUUAUAUUUAAGUGUUUCAACUAGACCAAUCUUUCGAAAUUCGAAAUAAUCCAAAAUACAAAUAAAGUGACACAAAAUAGGAGAAACUUAAUAAAUUGAGAGAAUUAAAGUUGGGUGUUGUGGAGUAGUUGUUGAUUUGACAUUACAACAGUUGACACAUUGGUACGUGUGAAUUGAUGGCAUUUUGUUUAUAUAUGUAGAGGAGAAAGUAAUGGCUGGAGAGCCUGAAAGUAAGAUUCCUGCCUGCUUUACCCUAGCUGCUUCUGUUUCUCCUGAACAAUAUAAAUACAAGCAUGGAAUUCACAAGCUACUAAGCUAACCCUAUGGUGUCAAGGAUUCUGUAUUUCUAUGUAAAGUCAAAUCAGUCAAACUCACUGUCCAUCAUCAUCAUCAUCUCCCUGCAAUCUUCAUCAUCACCUUUACAUGUUUGUCGUACUCUAUAGAUCCCUACAUAGAAAACAGAACACUGAGAUACUGAAUAAUGAUAGGGCUGAAAGAUAGAAAAAUGAAAAGAGCAACAGUAAUAUACCAAUGGUCAAAGAACAUAGAUUUUCGGACCGAACGGGCGGAAGAACUCACUCCAUUAGCAGAGAAGACAGUCAGGAACAUCGGUCGGGUGAUUCUGUGUUUUCGCUGUCCUCUUUUUUUUUUCUCGAGCUAUGGCUACACGUUCUGUUUUAUCCUGAUCGAUGUAUGUCUUGUUCGCCACAAAACCCCCGAGGCUGCAGCUGCAACUGUAAAAUUCAGUAUCUGUAUGACGGAAACCACAAGGUACCUUGACUAAACUACACAUGCCAAGCACCCUAAGAAAUGGAGAUACUUUCUCGACAUAAAUGAUCUCCUAAAACCUAAAGGAGAGAUUAGGCUUUGGUUUUCAAAGUUCAAGUUUCCUUCACAAUGUAUCUAUCGGAGGUUAAGAAUACCGUAGGGGCUUGUUUUGUUUAACUGGUAAUUCGUAGGAUGUACUAGCAAACAUAUCUCAUGUUUUAUGUUUCCCUUUCCUAUCCAAACUUCGGUUCUUUUGCUUUCUUGUUAAACUGAAUACAGAGGAGCAUAUGAUUGUGGCAUUUGAGCUUGUUACAAUCUUCACGGAGAAAUUGAUAUGCAUGAACCAGAAACGGAAUGUUACGGUGGCAUCACAGUAAAAUAUAGAGCAAUUAGGUACCUCUUGACAGAUUGCACAAAUCACCACCUAGCUAGCAUCACUGCAUCAGAGUCAGUUCCUUUUACGAUAAUCUAAAAGCUGGAAUGAAAUAAUGGUUCCAUCAAUAACUAUUUAAUUGCUCAAUUUUUAUUUGACUGCAGAACUUACAUGGUCAAACUUCAGAAUGAACCUUGCUGAUGUCACUGGGAAUCUUACACGUUCGGGGCGGGGCAGCUUACUGAAGUCUUUGUCCACCGGAUAAAAAUUUCUCCAGAUAUCUGAGUCCACCCCAUUGCUGAUACAUAUUGUAGUGUUAUGUCGUCUCAAUUCAGUUCAAGCCCCAUUUGCAAUGGCAUCUAUUAAGCAGUCGUCUUCAUCCAUAUUAUCUUUUUCUUUCAUGUGCUGCCAUAACAGACCUAGAGUUCGAUGUGCCAACUCCAUAUGAAUGCCAACUGUAUCAUCCACGACAAAACUGUAUACUUCGUUUCUUACUUCAAUCCAACUCUUCCCCGAAACCUUCUUGCUCACAAUUUCCUUCAUCAAUCUCCUUGUCCUCGCAAACUCGUCCCAUUUACCUUCGGCUGCAUAAAUAUUUGACAGCAUGACAUAAGCACUGACCAUAUCUGGCUGCAAAUCCAACACCCUCAAGGCAGCUAAUUUACCCAAAUCUAGAAGGUUAUGGGUUUUACAGGCGCUAAGGAGCGCACCCCAAACAGAUUCGUCAGCUUUAAAUGGCAUGCUGUGUAUCAGCUGAUAGGCCUCCUCAACUCUCCCAGCUCUGCCCAACAAAUCCACAACACACCCAUAAAUUUCCUGAUUUGGCCUAAUUUUGUAGUGACCAAUCAUAGUAUUGAAAUACCUCAGGCCCUGGUCGACUAGUCCAGCAUGACUACAAGAACUCAAAACCGCCAUAAACACAAUCUGAUCAGGCCUGACAUCUGACCUCACCAUCUCCUCAAACAGCGCUACAGCCUCUAUACCAUAUCCAUGAGCCCCAUAUCCAAUCAUCAUAGAUGUCCAGGAAACCAAAUCUCUGGAAGACAUUUCACUGAAAAUUUUAUGUGCCUCACUUAUACUACCACACUUGGCAUACAUGUCUAUCAAAGCAUUAGCCAAUGCCAAGUUACUAGCAAGUUACUAUUAAUUCCUCUGCGAAUAAUUCCUCCAUGAACCUGUUGCCCACAACUCAGGACCGCCAGGUUAGCACAGGCUGCUGUUACACUGGUAAACGUGAAGCAAUUUGGAGUAAAACCUUCUGAUUCCAUUCUGGAGAAUAUAGAGAGGGACAGCUUGGAAUCCCACUUUUCAUAUCCUGAUAUUAGAGUAUUCCACGUGAUCAAAUCUUUUUCACUCAUUUGAUUGAAGCACUGGUUUGCCUCUGGUAAACAAACAAAUCUACAGUACAUAUCUAGUACAGAGUUCAUGACAGGAAGGUUAGAUUCAAACCCAUGUUUGAUCGCUGCCGCCUGUAUUUGUCUGCCACUGUUUUGCGAUCCGGUCGAAGCACAAGCUCUAACAGCAAUAGAAAGGCUGUAAGGGUUAAGCUCCGGUUUCUCCUGCGAGCCAAAUGCAAUAAAAAUACUUGAGGAAAAUAAAAUGAAACACAACGAGGCAGAAGUGAUCUUUUUGUAACAAUCCAAACUUACAUGCAACAUUUGUUUAAAAAUUCGGAGGGCACUAUGGGAACGUCCUCUGUGAGUGAAACCAGUAAUCAAGGUAGUCCAUGAGACGGCAUUCUUUUCUCUAAUAUGACGAAAAACCAAGCAAGCAUCUCUCAUGCUAGCACAACAAGUAGCAUACAUAUCCAUGAGCGAAUUGUCCACGUAAAUGAACCCUUCCAACCCACGCUUUAUGACCGAACCAUGAACUAAGCUGCCACGAGAAACAUCCUUCAUACCUUUACAAACCUUCAAAACGCUGGAAAAGGUGAAGGCAUUGGGCACAAUCCCAUUCUUAACCAUGUCGCAGAAAACCCUCCAAGCCCGCCAGUUUUGGCCGCGGGAAGCGUAGCCAGCGACCAUGGACGUCCAGGCGACAACGUCUCUGUCAGGCAUUUCGUCGAACAGGUCGUGAGCAUCGUCAACUGAGCCGUUUUCGAAGUAUGACUUGAUGAGGUUUGUGGCCAAUACUGAGGGACCCUUUGGUGCAAACACCGUAGGGUUGGCUUGGGUCCAUUGUAGGUAGUCAUCGGCGAACGUUGAUAGCGGUUGCGAGCGAAGCACCGAAAGUUGCCGUGGAUAUCGCAUAACUAGCGAACGAACAUGAUAAUGGUGAUGGCAAUGAAAUUCAGCUGUUUUUGUGCUGACCCCUCCCUGCCAUUGAAGAAAGAGAUGGCUGGCAACAAACGAAAAAAGGAAAUUUGGCCUCUUUGAGUCGCCGGGAGAAGACUGAUCGGCGGCCGGUUUAGUGACGACGGUUUAGGCAGGUUAGUUAAUCUAGUAAAAACACUAGGUUGAAGUCAAGGUUUAAGAAGUUGGACCAUAACAUGGGCCGGGCAUUUGCAGAUCUGCAGUCCAAUAGCAAAAGCCGCCGCCCAAAUAUGUGCCUUGUACGGUGACUGUCAAGUGUUUAUUAGGGAUGUUGGUCAGCCUGAUUUUGGAGUUGUGCGUCCUUAAUUGUUGUCACUGUUACUUUAGAUCAUAAUGUCUUUCGUUAAGCAAUCUCAUCUCUUUCAAGUAAAUCGGGUGGUCUGUUUAACGAAAAAGAUAUUCUUUUGUUAGGUUGGAUGACCUAUAUGUGAUCAUCAGUUUUCUCUUCGUACAUGUUUAUAUUAUCGUAACAAUUUUGUCAAUGUUGUAGCCUUCUUUCUUUUCUAUUAAUACGAGUUUAUAUAAUUGUCUCAAUCAAUGUCAUCUACUUAUUUAUAUAUAUAACAAAGACGAGAAUAAAAUAUUAUUUAGAAAAAAAAUUCAUCAAUAAAAAUUCACAAAUUGACAACCUUCCAAAUCUCGAAAUUUGUGAAAUAUUGAGCGAUGAUUUAACUCUACAUCAGUAAGCUCAGACCCAUCAAUUAAAUCUAAUUUUUCAUAUUUUAUGUGCUUUGUAAUGUUUAAACUAGAUAUUAAAUAAUUUUUUAUAUAAUCUUAUUUUUAAAAUGCACCUCGAAUCGAUAAGUUCGUCCAAUAAUGAAUCAUCUUUCUUACAAUGUGACCACUUAGGUCGGCUGUGGGUACAAAAUACAAACACAAAAUUUCAAGAUUUGAGCACAUGGAGAUGCAAUCAAUUCCCCCCAUCGUGACUUCACUUUGAAGCAAUGGGUGGCUGAAAACAUAAGAAUAAACGAACAUAGCAUUAUAUUAAAAUCGUAAAUAUCUUGUUAUGUAUGUCGGCACAACAAAACGGGGCCUCUUGUUCAUCGCAAAACAAAAAUGGGGCCUCUUAUCCAUCGACACGUUGGUUUCGAAUUCCCACCCAACUCUGCUUCUGCAGAUUAUGUGUAGUGUAUAUAUACAAACUCCAUGCUCUAAUUCUCUGGAAGUUUCACAUUCAAACUUGCAUCAGAUAAUCUGAUAUUUGAAUACUUAGUAUCAUCAUCUUCUUCUUCUUCUUCAUCAUGUCGAGGGGAACAGAUAACUUCAUAGGGAUAAUACUGGCGAUCCUGUUGCCGCCACUGGGAGUGUUCCUGAAGUUCGGGUGUGAGACGGAGUUCUGGAUCUGUUUGGUCCUCACCUUCCUUGGCUACAUCCCUGGCAUCGUCUACGCCGUCUACGUCAUCACUAAGUGAUCAAUGUCUGGUUUGUACCAGUGAUCAUUUGUUCUUUGUUUAUUUGCUGUCUGGUUCUGGCUUUUCUCUGUAUGUUUCUGGGAUUUGUAAUUCCUCCUUUACCCUUUCUUUUGUAAUUCUGUGCUAGUGUGUUGUAACUACUCAUAUUCCAAUUUUUCCAGUAAAGAGUCUCUGGUCUAUCCAAUGCACUCUGUCCAAGCCAAUUCUCUGCUUAAUCAACAGUUUUACAAGUACCAUUGUUCAAACUGUUUUACAAGGACCUAUUCACUUUGUCUCAGAUAUACCGACAUUUGGUUUGGCAGAGUUGGACGAUGACAGGAAAAUUCGUUCUCCAAAAUCACUUUUUCGAGAUCUAACUUUUACUUCCGGCAAAAAAAUAUGCAAAAAUAUUUCCAGGUAAAUUAGUGAAUCACAAAUGACUGAAUCUGGCAACAGGGUCUACAAAGAUAAAACGUGCUUGUAUAUCAAAACUGGACGAAGAACAGAGAACUUGGGGCUGAUUGGCUGACGUUGUAUUCGAGGACCGUACGAGGCCAACGAGGUCUAAGAGAAAACAGUGAUGCUAAAGGCAUGUGGUUCAAAGCUAAAGCGAAAGGUAUGAAGUUGAAGGAACCCCUUCUGAUGCCUUGGAAAUGUGCCACUGUCAUUGAAACCGUAAUAAGCCGUGGAUUCGAGUCGCCUUCAGCACCAAAAAGAUAAUUGGACUGCGAACUGGGUUGCGAAGUCUACUCGAGAUCACACUCUCCCGGUCAACUGGUUGAUAUAUUGUUGCGAUACAUCUCCCUUGUUCAAAAAUGAUUGGGAAAAACUUAAGAAGUUUUCACGCAGCACGCACAGCAGGCGGCACAGAUGACCAAAAUUUUCCCAUCAUUCUCAAGUUAGGAGGCAAAAGAUCAGAGACCAAAAUAUAUCUAGUUAAAUCUAAAAUAAGAGAGAUUCUGGCAAGCAAUACAAUUCCAAGAGUCUUGGUUCUUCAAGCAGAUAACAAAAUUCCAAGAGUUAAUACAACCCUUCUAAAUAUUAAGUAGUAGACUUUGACAAACCCAGGAAAACCCUUAAGAUUACUUCAGCUACAAAAUUCUCCAUUAGUACAGAAGAGACUAUAGCAGCAACCAUCAUUCAAUCCUAUUCUCUGCUUUUCUUCUUGUGGUUCAUGACUAGUUUCCCUCUUCUCUUCGCUACGAAGCUCCAUUGGUUGCAGCUGCAGCGUACAUGCCUGCAUCCUGGUUUGACGAUGCAUUGUAUCCAUAUCCACCACCGUAGCCUUGCCCACCAUUGUAGCCACCUCCACUCCACUGGUUUCCAUUAUCCCCUCUCCACUGUGAAAUCAAUGCAUAUCAGCGAAAAAAUACAAAAACACAAACCAAGGAACUUCCAAGAGGGAAGCAAAGUUGAGAUAAGCUGUGUUUAACAUCCAAUUAGAAGCACUAUUGUAAGGUCGAUCUUUGUUGGUGCUAAGCCAUCAGCAAGUAUCAAGUAUUUGAACUAAUUCACAUGUAACAGGAAUGGAUGCCACUUGAGCUUGCUACAGCCUUGACGGAAUAAUUGAUAAGCAUAAGCCACACACAUACAGAAAAGUUAAUGGAAUAAUACGUGAUUCAAGUAAUGCCAAUCUCCAUCCUGUCAAAAAU
Molecule: long non-coding RNA, 57492 nt
Filed under: Linum usitatissimum (flax)
Lineage: Eukaryota; Viridiplantae; Streptophyta; Magnoliopsida; Malpighiales; Linaceae
Description: long non-coding RNA (LUSI_LNC002882)
Source: RNAcentral